Molecule: long non-coding RNA, 47086 nt
Filed under: Vitis vinifera (wine grape)
Lineage: Eukaryota; Viridiplantae; Streptophyta; Magnoliopsida; Vitales; Vitaceae
Description: long non-coding RNA (VVIN_LNC005525)
Source: RNAcentral
UCCGACUACCUAGAUCUGUACUCACUCUAGACGAUGAUCUCAUUUUGAAGCCUACACCCUAAUCGACAUCCGAGGUCAAAAAAACCCCUUUUUCUGGCCACCACCAACGAAAUCCACUACCAGCUACAUUCAUAGUUGGCCACAACUUGAAAGAUUCAUUUACAUGUAAGUGUUAUGUUCUCUUUUUAGGUUUAUUUAGGGCUAGGGUUUGUGAUUUAAUAGUUGUUUAUAAUGUUUGUAAUUUAAAAGGCCUUGGAAUUGGAUGGUUUUUCAUUAUGAGAGAAGUGUGGCAGCUUGAGAUGAGGAGUAGGAGUUUAGGAGGAGUCGUCUUGGGAAAAUGUCAUAAGAUGGAUAAAAUCAUGUUUGCAGGUCUAUUUUUAUGAAUCUUGGAUUUAUCGUGAGAUUUGAAUUGGGAAAGCUCCAUCAAGGUUCCAAAUCUUUGAUCAAUUUUUGUUUUGAAAUUGUGUGCAAUCCUUGGUUCUAGAUUUGGAUUAAAAAAAAUUAGUGUCUUAAUUUUCUUCGUCAUUUUUUUUUUUUUUGGAUGUUGGUGUUGUCUUAUUUGAUUUUAACAACUUGAUUUCUCAAAGAGGUCUUUGUUUUUUUAUGAAAUUUGUUCACGUUGGGUUGUUGUAUAGCUUGUAUUCCCUAGAUACAUGCAAGUUGCUUGAUAAAAUGGGUGUGAGAAUCAGAUAUAUGUUCCUUUUGUUGAAUUAAUGUGAAAAUAUGUGUUUAAUAUCUUGAUGUUUUGUAUCUAUGGUUUCAAGUUUCCAAGUCUGAGUAUUGGAGCAAUGAUUUAUCUCUUCUUAGUUUAUGGAAUAACCUGUAAAUCAUCGAUUCAUUCUAUAAUGAAAUUAAAAGGAAAUCCAUUAGACAUGAAGUAUAGAAAAAAAACAGAGAAAAUGUAAGGAAAAAACAGGGGAAAUUUGAGUGUGUUAGCACCACUUGUUAGUUUUGAUGGCCCUAAGACUUAAUUCUCUACGUUAUUUUCUAUUUCACUAUAUGAUCUUUGAUUAUAUUUUGAGCCAAUAUUAAUCCACUUACUAAACUAAAUCAUCAACGUCCAUUUCAGGUUUGUAUUUGGUGGGCCAUUGGAGGAAAUCUCAUAUACCUCACAUAUAUAGGAUUGAUCAUUGAAUGAAGUUGCAAGAUCAAGUGGUGAUCGACCUAAUGGAUGGUUUAGAGUUUCCAGAACUCACUUGAUCAUCUAACUGUUGGAGGACAGGUAAAAAUACAAUGGCUUUGGCAUGAUGACACCCCUUUUUUCUAUGUUUUUUUUUUAUUUUUUCUUUUUAAAAAAUUAGUUUUCAAGAGGCAGAACUAGUAUCACUUUUAGAACAUAAAACAUGGACUACUAUUGGCCAUUUUCUUGUUCCUUGUUCUAGAUAGUUUUUGAAAAGUUGUAAAGCUUUCUUUAUUAUUUUUUGGAAACUACUAAAAGGGUUUUGGUGUGGUCACUAUGAGAUGUUUGAAUUCAAUUUGACCAUUCAGUUCAAAUCCAAAUAUAAAUGUCAUUAAAGGCAUGUUGCACUUUGAAAUAUAUGUUAUUAUUCUUAUACAAUUUUAUACAUUUGAGAAAGAUAUGAAUAUAUAUCUAGGGAGCAUUGAAUUGUUCUAGGAUUUCAAUGAUAUAUGUAGUUUUUAUGCUUUAUCGUGUUGGGAUUCUUCACUUAUCUAUUAGUUCUUCUUGCUCCAGAUGUUGAUGAAUUUUGUUGUUGUGUUAUUGUUGUUGUUGUUGUUAUUAUUAUUAUUAUUAUUAUAAUUCCAAUUAGGAUUUAGAAGAGUUUUCAUUCCAAUUAGGAUUAACUGUGAGUAUAUAUAUAUAUAUAAUUCUGGUUUUUAAAGAAACCGGUAUACAUAUCAGCAAUUGACAAAACCUUGUGUUGGGAGGUUGGGCAAUGGGUAGGAAUGUUCUUCAGAAUCACAUUACACUAUCACCAUCUAUUCCUCAAUAUUUAAAAAUAAGCCCAAGUAUUUCUAAAGUUUGUAUAUUUUUUGACAAUGAGAGAAUACUAGAACAAGAAAUAGUUGUUUUGUAUAUUUUUUAAAUAGUAAAAGAAGUUGAGUUUUAUUUAUAUUUAUUCUAUAGUCCACAUUGGAUCAUACACAAAAAAGAGUUAAGUUUAAAUUUUGAUACAAAAUGGAAUUGACACCCUAAUAUUUUUUAAUUAAAUAUUGCUAUGUUAUCCUUACAUUAUUUUUAAAUAUUUUUUAUGAAACAUUUAUUUUAGUUGCUUCAUUAUAGUUUAAUUUUUAAUUAGAAUCAUAUUAGGAGAGUUGAAAUGUUAGUUGCAUUAAAAUAUUAACUUUUUUUUUUAACGAUAAGUGAAAUUAAAUUAGGCACUUGCAUAAAAAGAUGGUUGAUACUAAGAUGGCAGGACGAUUUGCUUUUGUAAAUCCGGCUUUGGUUUCCAAAGCUGGAAUGGGGGAAGCAAGCAAGGAAAGUAGGUCAAGGCUUAUUACUAAUCGAUUGAUAAAUGCAAAUUAUGCUAACUUUAUUUUCAUUCCAUACAACCUAGGGUAAGUAUAGAACUUAAGUAAGCUAUGUAUGUAAACUUAUCAAAUGAUAAUUAAUAUAUAACUAAAUUUAUGUAAAAUUUUGUAGCUAUCAUUAGGUUUUGGUGGCAUUGGACACAAGGACUAUGAUUGCAUAUUACCUUGACUCAUUGCAAGAUCAACCUUCUGAUGAUCUUAAGGAGAUUAUUAAUAUGUAAGUUUCUCUCUCAAUACUAGAGCAUGAAGCAUAAUUGGUAACACAUAUUAUUUUCUUCAUGCAGGGUCCUUAGAAUUCAUCUACCACAAAAACAUAAAUCAUCAAAGAGGGAGCCUACUUGGGUUGUAAUAGGAGUGAGUAAUUCAUAUAAAUUAAGUAAUGCAAUUUUUAAUACCAUUUCUUAAUUUUUAAUUAAGUACAAGAUAUCCUACAACUAACUAUAAAAUUGGUGUAUUCUACAAUGAUUUAUUUUUAUGCAUAAAGUGUCCAAUACAAAUAGGUAGUGUUGAAUGUGGAUACUAUGUGAUGAAAUAUAUGAGAGAUAUUAUUGCUGAUCAAGGAUGUCUUACAUCAAAGGUGUGCACCAAUUUAUUAAUUUCUAAUAUAUCAAUUUUUAGCUUAUUUUUCAAUGUAAUUGAUCAAAUUGUUUACAUUACUCCUUAAUAGUUUCACAGAAAAAAAUCAUAUAGCAAAGAUGAGUUGAACGAAGUACGAUCUGAAUGGGUAAUGUUGGUCACUUAAUUGAUACUUUCUUUUGUUUGAAGGCUUUGAAGACACCUUUUUGUAUGGAAAUAUAUCAUAAUUUUGCCCUAUCCAACUAUCACUUUUGGCGAGGUUAAUAUUUUAUUUCUUUCUCUUUUGAACCAAUAUAUCAUUAAAAGUAAAUUGUUUGAUGGAAUCACAACCAAAUUGAUAAUAUUUUCUUUCUAUUGUCAUGAUAUUUCUCCAGUUUCCCAUAACUGAACUAAGCUGUUAAUUGCAUGCAUGACUCACAGGCAUCCAAAGGGAAACUUUCAGAAGCUGAAAGUUGGAAGUUUUUCCAAGUUUCUAAUAGUUUAUGAGCUACUGCCACAACAAAGGUGUUUUUCAUAGGGAUAUCAAGUUUAUUAUUUUUUACUUCCUAUUAAAGAUCUUUUAAAGGGGGAUAUACACUUGGAAUUUUUUUGUUCUCAUGUGAUCAUUUGUUUUCAUUCUCAACUACAAAAUGUUCUUGUUGGUUCAAAAGGAAACAUGAAGACUUCUAAUUUUGGCCAUGGUGUUUUACCACUCUAUUGUAAGUUACAUUGUCACCCUCAUAAAACAUAAAAAUUUCUUCAUAAAAUAAUUUUUUUGUUUCAUUGCUUAACUUAUUUAUUUUUCAAUGAAUCUAAAACUACAAGAUGAUGGAUUACUAUAUAUAUAUAUAUAUAUAUAUAUAUAUAUAUAUAUACAAAUAGUGGAAGUUCAAAUUACAUUGCUUAAUUAACUUCUAAUUAAGUUUUUUCAAGUGUCGAAAAUGUGGUUUGUAGUUUAAUUUUCAUUUUAUUAAAAUUAACGGUUCUAUUUUUAUCUCUUCAACCAAUUUGUAGACUGGGUAAUUGAUUGAGCAUAGCUCUAGAAGAUGCCAAUGAAGUAUCUCUAUGAACAUAAUCCCCUCAUGAUAGUGAUAAAUAAGAUGAAUGAUAAGUAUGAUACAAUUGGCCACUGUUUUGGAUGCAAUGUUGCAAUGCAUAUCAGAUGGUAGGAAAUGUUAAUUCUUUUAACUUAACAAAAAACUUAGUUGAUAAAGUAUCAUGGUGUGAACCCUAUUUAUUUCAUGUUACACCAUAUUCCCAAACCUUCCCUUUACAAUGUUGCACAUUCGAUGAGGUCUAUUACUAUUAAACAAUGCCUAAUUGAAUAUUUUAAUAGACUAUUGAUGUUGAUAUUCUCUUGUCCCAAACUUGGUUUGUUUUUCUAUUUUCUUUAAUUUGGGUUUUACUAAAGAUUUAAUGGAUUAUUGAUGUUAAUGUUCUCUUGUCCCGUAUUUGAUUAAUCUUUUGCUUUGUGUUUUAACUAUUGAUAGUAAUUUUGUUAUAAUUAUUCUUAGGGUCACAUAUAUAUGUCAAUUGGUAUACACAUUUGUUUUCCUAUUAUAUUUUCAUUGUCAUUUCUUUCAAUCUAUUUCUAGAAGUAUUCACUUAUAUAUCUUUUUCUGAAAUUGUAAUUGAUUUUAGUUUUUUGUGCAUGUAGGUCAUCUUUUUGGGAAAUUAACAUUGUAGUUGGAUAAGCUAGCAUGAAGAAGUAUGUUGAAGACCAAAGCACAAUUGGGUUGCAUGUAAAGAAAAAAUGGACUAUGUUAAGGGACUAAACAUUAAAGUGGUGACUUUUUUUUGUUAUUUUAAUAUAUUUUAGCUUUUUUGUGUUUCUUAUUUAUGAAAUACAAGUUCAACUAUCUAUUAUUAAAUACUGUAAUUUGGAAAGGUAUUACCAGGUGAAAAAUUAGGUGCAACAACUAAUUUCAUUGGUACAUAAUUUUUUUUCUUAUGUGUAUGCAUUAUUUCAAUAGCAGAUGAAAAAUUACGUGCAACAAUUAUUAAAUUAGAACUAAAUUUAAGAUUAAACAAUUAUCUUCCUUGAUGCUUUUACUAAAUGUUAAGGAAUGACAAUAUCCACAUUUAUCCAACCCAAUAAUGACACUAAUAAAUGUGUCGAUGUAGUGCGAACAACUAACAAUGACACUUUUUGAAGUGUCAAGGUUCUCUUCAAUGACGCUUUCUAGAAGUGUCUUUAUAGUUCGAUAUUUGAAACUGCUAAACAAUGACACUUAUAGAAAGCGUCAAGGUUUCUUCUACUCAACAAUGACGCUUAUAAAAGUGUCAAUAUAGUUUGAUAUAACUAAUGAUGACAAUUUUUUUAAGCGUCAAGGUUCUCUUCAAUGACGCUUUCUAAAAACAUAAUUGUAGGCAAAUACUUAUUAUGACAGGCUAGUAAUUGAUGCUUUGGGGAAGCGCCAUUGAAGGUAUUUCUUGACACUUAAAAAGUGUCAUGGUUAACGUUUUUUUUUUUUUUUUUUUUUUUAUAAUGGAAGUAAUAAAAGGUAUAAUAUUAAAAUGUUAAUCUCUUCUUCUUUUGUAAAAGAAAAUUUAAUAUUAUAUUUUAAAUAUAAAAAUCUUACAUUUACCUACAAGUUUUAAAAUUUUAAAAUAAUAACAAAAUAAAUAAUUAAUUAAAUAAAUAAUAAGUAGACAACUUUAUACUAUGUAAUAGAUAUAAGUAUUUAUAAACUUGAACCUACACUUAUUGAGAAGAAACGUACACCUAGAGUGGCAAGUCUUGACUCAAUAUGAAAUGGAACAUCAGAUAACUUGUGGUUGCAUGAAGCGUGAAGAGACACCUUUGGCUCAAAGAGUGUAUUUAGUUGGGUGGUUAUGGUAGUUGCAUAACCAUCACCCCCAUACUCUUGUUUUAGAUUCAACUAUUUGAAUUCAAAAUUCUAAUGCAUGACAACAUGUAUAAAAGUCUCCUCCAUUGUAGAGAGAUAAGAGAGCAUAGAGAGAAUAAACAAAUAGUGUAAUAUUUUCUAUAACUCAGGCAAAAUUGUAUAAGGUGUUAGAGCACUUAGUAAAAAGUUUUGUGAUCUUAUAAUUGUUGAGUAAUACAAGUAAGGAAAGCUCUUGUAUCUUGUUGGUUGCGUGUAUUAUAUUUCUUUUGUUGUGGCUUUUGGGAAUGUUGGCUAAGGUUAGGUUAGUGUCUUAGCACCGCACACUCGAAAAAAAAAGUGGUUUUUCUAGGGUGUGACACUAGGCUUCUUUAAUUUAUGCUUUAGAGGAAAAAUCUUAUGUCAAAAUAAAAUGUUUUUGAACACUCGAAAACAUUUAAGCUAUGUUUGGUUCCCAGAAAAUUUGAGGAAAAAUGUAAGAGAAAAAAAAUACAAAGGAAAAUAGAAGGAAAGAAAAAGUGAAGAAAAAUAAAAAAAAAAUAGAUUAAAAAUUGAUAAAUUAUUUUUUUUAUUACUUCAAACUCAUUUUAUUUAUUUUAACUCAUUAAUAUAAAGAUUAAAUAAUUUAAAAAUAUAUAAGUUUUUAAUUAGUUUUAAUUAUAUAUGAUUUUUUUUGAUAUUUUUUAUAGGACAACCAAACAUGAAAAAAUCAUUUUCCUUUAGAUUUUUUUUAUUUCUUUAGUAUUUUUUGGAACCAAACAUAACCUUAAGGUUUAAUCAGUGAACAAAGUCUUUGCCUUUCUUUUCUUUGAGCUUUUUCCCUCCUAAAAGUUUAAGGUUUUUCUUGGUCCAAAUUUGAGUGAAAAUGAGUAAUGAUCAGGACCUCUCUACCAUUGUCAGAAGUUCCUCCUCUAGUGUUGCUCAUAAAGCCAUAGCCAAAAACACACUAGAAAAUAGCUUCUUCCACUCUGAUGAGUUUGCCUUUGACUUAUCUCCUUCUCCUUUUCCUGUAUGAUUCAUCCCAAAAAUGAACUGGACAACCCUUUUGACGAAUUGUCUCAUGUUUACAAACCUUUCUACAAGAGGGUUCAGUCUACCACCACAAGGCAAAGACAAACAAUGCUGCCAAAGAGGAUUUCUUGAACGACGACUCAUUUUCGUUUCCUACUUUAGUUGAUACGAGGAAUGAAUACCAGGACACAUUUGACUAACCCUUCGAUGAGUAUCAAAUUGAAUAAUACCCCACAAAUGAUAAUACCAAAAUCAAUUCCAGCAAAUACAAUUCCACAAUUCGAUCAUGUAUGAGUUUUCUUCAUUUUUCUUCUUCUUUUCUUAGCUUUUUUCUCGGUAGUGAAGAGGACCAAGAGACUUGAGUACUGCUGACUACAUGCACGAUCACACCUAUUUGUCACUUCAAAAUUUUAAACAUUUUUUAUGUUUGUAUAUCCUUAAAAAUGUUAAUUAUAAGAAAAAUAAAAUUUGUGACGUGGUAAAUUUUAACAUUAAUUAAAAUUCAUUACUAUAAUUUUGAGUCACACUCAUUUACUACAAGCUUAAAGGAUUUAUAAACGCUCUCACUCAUGUCCAUCUACCACAACUUUAGAAAACAACACCACGUGCUACAUCUCCAACUUCUACACUGCUACAACACUUUAUUUUGAAUUUGAAUUUUAUUUUAAAAUUCAAUGGAAAUGCAAUAUCAUAAUUUUCAUAUCAAUUGAAAGAUAAUAUCAUAAUUUUCAAAAUCCUCUUUAUAUCUUUAAAAAAAUUGUUAUAAAAUAUAUUAACUUAUUACAAUAUAAAUAGCAUGUUAUAAUAAAAUCAUGUCAUUUAUUAAGUCUAUCUACAAAAAAUAAUCUUUAAUUUAUAAAGCCUCUAAUAUUAUAACAAUAAUGUACUCCUUAAAUAACAACAUAAACUUAUGAAAUAAAAGUUUAUAUAUAUAUAUAUAUAUAUAUAUAUAUAUAUAUAUAUAUUAAAAGGGCAAUAAAUAGUUGAAGACAACAUUACUCAAUAUUAAAUUAAGAAAAAAAAAAUGGAGAAUGGAAAUUAGAAAGCUAUAUUACAAAACAAAGAUGCAUUUUUUAUAAAAAAAAAAAAUUUAAAAAUACUUAUAAAAAGAUGCAUUUUUUUAGGUAAGCAUUUGUUUAAUUUAUAAGUUAUAUUUUCAUUUAUUUUUGUUUAAUUUAUGAAAACAAGGUGCGAAUUGAUUUCCAAAGACAUGAAAUUCAUACGCAUAAUCAUGUGGGUAAUACGUGCACAAUUCGGUGUGUUAACGCGCAAAGGCAUGUAAAGUUAUGUGAUUAAGAAGUGAGACCUAAUAUGAAAAGAUUUUUUUUUUUUGUUAAAAAAUGAUAAUAUUUAAUUAUUUAGAAAUUGAUUAAAUGAUAAGGUAGAGGGUGUUUUAAUAAAACUUAAUACUUAUUACUUAAUAAUUUAAGUUUAUUUUAAAUUAAAUUAUUUUUAAGUUUUUGUUUCGGUAAAAUUAAAUUAAAUUUUAUUCUUAAUUAUCAAAUUAACAUAUUUACACUUGUCAAUUUUAACUUUAACGUAUUCUAAAAAUAUGAAAUAAUUACAAAAAUAUUUUACCAUAAAAGAUGAAUUGUGAAUGUAAAGUGAUACUUGUAAAAUAUGUUUUCACUAAAUAUGGGUAAAUAAGGUAAAAGAAAUUUGAAAUUAAAAAUAAAUUAACUAUUUUGACUUAAUACUUAAAAUUCUUUUUUACUUUAAAUUGUGAUAUUAAGUUAUUUUACCAAAUAUAUUUAAUCUAUUUAAUAACUUAAAUUAAGUCAUUAAGUCAUAUUAUGUCAUUAAAUUGAUUUACCACACACCCUCUAAACGAAAACUUAGUAAACUAAAUGUAAAUUAAUCUACUUGAUUUAUAAAGUUACUUCCUCACGUAUAUCUUAAGAAUAUUAGUUAAGUUAAUCAUAUUAUUGUAUAUAAAACUAAUAUAAUUAAUUAAUUAAUUAAUUAAUUAAUGACUCAUAUUUAUUUCUAUUCCUUUAUUAAGAAAUGGAUGUAGGUUGUAAUUAAUAGUUUUGUUUCUAUUUUUAUUCAAAUGUAGUAAAGAUAAUUGAUAAUUUAAUUAUAUUUAAACGCAUUUAAUAUAUCUUUUCCUCAUUAAAAAAAAAUUAAUAAAUGACUCAACUUUACCUUGAACUUGUUAAAGAUAAAGAGAGAUAUAUCUUACAUUAAGUGAGAAUUAUUAGAUGUGUCAUCCCUCUUAAUUGCAUAUUGAUGUUAGAAUUAUUAUUAUUAUUAUUAUUAUUAUUAUUGUCAUUAGGGUUAAAUAUAAUUUACUCCAUCACUUUUUUUCGAGGCAGAAAUUUGAUCCCUUAAUUUAAGAUUUUGAGUAAAAACAAAUAAUUACCAACUUACCAUUAGGUUAUACUGACAUUCAUAUGUUGUUCUACUCUCCUAAAAUAAAUUUCAUGUUAUGUCUUCCGUAACCUUCCUUUCUGACUCCAUCAUUAUUUUUCAUUUUCAUAUUCAAUUUUUUUUUAUAUUUUAUCUCCUUACAUUCAAAUAUGUUUCACAACAAACAUCUAAAUGAUAAAUUGAGUUAUUUCUUUUUAUUCAUCAAAUAAAUAAGACAUACAUUAUUUUGUAAUCAAAUUACAAUAAAGAAUGAGAAUUUAUGAAGCAUGUGGGUCUAAAAUGGACAAUUGAAGUGACAUCAUAACAAACAUCCAAAAUUCUCCAUUCCAUCCUAUAAGCAAAUAUCUUUCAUUUUCAUAGAAUUACAUCAUACUUGUCACUAACUACAUUGGAAAAACAAUUUAGUGGACUAUUUUUGGAGGUCAAUCAUUUUUGUAGAUGCAAAUAAAUGAUAUUGCAUUUUCCCAAUCAAACUUUUGAUUAAAUAAAAGAUAACAAUAUUUGUUAUUGGGAUCAUCAAAGAGGGAAUUUGAAAAAUCAAAUUAGAAUAUGAAAUCAAUUUUCUAGUGAAAAUAUAAGAACUUUAAAACUUGGUUUAAAUAUUGGAGAAAUAUUUCGUAACGGAGGAUAGAAUCAUUAUUAACAAGUUUUUUUGAUAGAUAUGAGAACGAUAUAUAUUUAUCAAAUAUUAUAAAUGACACGAAAUGACAAAUACUAGUAAAAAAUUUAUAACAGACAUAAAACGACAACUAUCAACCGAAAAUUUACGAUACCGACAAAAAGUCAUUUUCUAGAUGACAUAUUAGUUAAUGUCUAAUAUAUACAAUUUAACAAAUACCGGUUUUUUAGUUGAAACAUUAGUUAAUAUAUCAUCUUUUCGGUAAAUAUACUUAUAACAAAAUUAUAAUAAAUGAUAUAAAAUUAAUUUUAUAUAUAUAUAUAUAUAUAUAUAUAUAUAUAUAUAUAUAUAAAGCAAUAAUAGUAUAUAUUUUAGUUCAAAUUUUUUAAGAGAAUAAAGAUUAUUUUCAAAUUGAUUUUUAUGUCCUGUAAUAUGAGUAAAGCUAUUAUUCACUCAAUUAUGACAAGUAACAUGCAUAAAACUAAUUUCUUAUUUAAAAAUAAAUAUAUAUAUAUAUAUUUACUUUUUUUCCUUUUAUGAAAAACUCGGUUUAGUGACAUUGAGCUAGUAACAUCCGUACGCGGAGUGUCAGUGCAUGAGAGUCAGAGAAAAAAGCCAAAACAAAAAUAAAUGAAAAGAUGAGUGGUUUUGUAGUGAAAGAAACCACUGGCUCAAUCCACAAAACCACCUUUUCUGGGACUCCACUCCAAAACCGCCAUUGUUACACACCCUCUAUAAACAGGGCACAGUCCGUAUCAGUCUUCUCCACACCAGCUCUUUCCUUUCUCUGAACUUUGAGGUUUCUUUCUGAUUAGUGAGCGACGUUGUUAGCCCUUCUUCUCUCUAAUUUAGGGUUUUUUCAGGUCGAAAUUUGAGCGAAAAUGAGUAAUGAUUGGGACCUCUCUGCCAUUGUCAGAAGCUGCUCCUCCAGUGCUGGUCAUANNNNNNNNNNNNNNNNNNNNNNNNNNNNNNNNNNNNNNNNNNNNNNNNNNNNNNNNNNNNNNNNNNNNNNNNNNNNNNNNNNNNNNNNNNNNNNNNNNNNNNNNNNNNNNNNNNNNNNNNNNNNNNNCUCAAGCGCCUCGGGGAAGACGGUAACUCAUUUUUCAUGGGUUUGGUGUCGAAAAGAAUUCCGUAAUCUUUGAAAUCUCCGGUUUUGCUUGCUUUUUUUUUGUUACAGGAGAAAGCAGCCGAGGCUGGUGAUGAAGAUGAAUGCGGAGUCGCUGUCUACAGACUCAUGGAGUUGGAGAAAAUAUGGACAGAAGCCGAUACAGGGCUCCAUAACUCCAAGGUUUGUUUCUGAAUUUUUGAAUUUUACUUUUCAUCAGAAUUUCAGGCAUAUUUCUAAUUCAUUUCAUUUUGAGAAGCAGAAGCUACUAUCGCUGCAGCAGCUUCAAAGGUUGUGCAGCUAGAAAGCAAGUGGACCUAAGCGAAGAGGAGCCGGACGUGUACAUCGUCACCUACAUCGGCGAUCACACCCACCGCCGCCCCGGAGGCUGGAGAUCCGACGUCGGAACAACCGAAAAAGUCUCCGCCUCCCCCACCUCCGACAAUACCCCGAAACCAGACACUGAAGACAAUAAUGAAGACACCGAACCAUGGUGUGAAGCCCAAGAAGACGAUGAUGAUAUUGUCAUGGCCAUGCAUGCACUCGACUCAACGGGAUCGGCCUCUACCAGCAGCCAACCUCAGUCUCCACCCAAAAAUUCCGUCAGCACCGCCGGAGAAUCUGUUUAGAUCGCCCUCAAACGUCAGGACGAAUCAAUAGAUUUUUCCCGAUCUUUUCCUUUUUGCUCUUUUCGUAGGAUAAAUAUGAAGGAAAAGAAAAAAAAAAAAGGCCCUCUCUACUUUUUCUUCCAUUAAAUUCAACAGACUGUGACGACAAAUUGAUAAAAUCAUGGAGUUUGUCCCUUUGUUUUUGUUCACUGUACUAGUCUAAAAAAAUUGGGCAGGUCCUCGGAAAAUUUACAAAGUCAAAGCCCCGUCUAAAGUCUAACUUGGGGCUCAAUUGGUAAUAAUUAUAAAAAAAAACGUUUUUAAUUUUACAAAUAUUUUAAAAAAAUAAAAAAUUUUAAAUGUAAAAAAAAAAGAAUAAAAAUGCUUGUAAAAUCAUUAUCAAAUGAAAUAUAGAAAUAGAAAUAAAAGUGGAAUUAAUAUAUGAUUGAUUUUAUUUAUAUUUUACUAAUUAAUUGUAUUUUAAAAAGCUAUAAGAAUUAGUGAUAAUUUUGACUUUUGGGAAGUAUUCCAUUAAAUGUCUUAGUAAAAGUAAGAAUAUCUAUUUUUAAGCAUAUAAAUGAACACAUAAAUCAGGUUGAGAAGUGUGGGACCCAAAUUUAAUGGUCCAAAUAAGCAUCUUGAAAAGUUAUGCAUGAUCAUCACCCUCAUUGUUAGUUCGAUACAAGUUGUCCAAUUGAAGUAAGACAUUAAAGCUUACUUUUAAUGUUUUUGAUAAUAUUUUAUAUUUAAAUUCAAAUUUUUAUUAACUUAAGAUGACUUCUUGUGAAGUUAUAAUAAGUUUAGCUUUUAAGUUGUAAUAUUAAGUUAUUUUAGCACCGUAUAUAUUAUGGUGUUGUUUAAUUUUAAGGUUAUUUGAUUAAAAUGAUCAUUGAAAACCCGAUUUUAGAAAUCUAACCCUUCAUCAUUUUUUAGUUACAUUUUGAUAAAAAUACCUUUAUUUUUAUUUUUAUUUUUUGGUAAAAAUAAUUAUUUUUUUAAAACUUAUAUGUCAAUACUCAAAAUAAUUAAGGGCAAUUAUGUCAAAAAUGGGUUACUCUUCAAACAAAAACAUAGAAAAUGUUAAAUUCACAAAUAUGAGAAUUAUUUCGACCAUUUUAACUAAUUAAUUCUUAGUUUUAUGUCCUAAAAUUAAAUUAAAUUUAAUAUAACUCAUUAAGUUAUUUUAGUAUGGAGCAUACCUUGGUGAUGUUUAGUUUUAUGUCUUAAAACUAAAUAGAUUUUAAUUUGACUUAAGUCUAAAUAAAAGUUACUUUCAUUAAGUAUUUAUUGUAUUUAUUUCUAUUAACAUUUGAAUGUUAUUUAGUGUUAAAAUAUUUGUUUUUAUUAUUUUCUUUUGUUUUAAAUAAAUAUUUUUUAUUUUUUCAAAAAUAAUUAUUUGUUUCUUCUUAUUCUAUAUAAUUAAGAUAAAGACAAUAAUUAUUAAAAAAUAAUAAUAAUCUAAUAUUGAGAGCUUAUUAUAUUGUAUCAUUUAACCACCCACAUAAGGUGAAUAGGUAGUCUUUUUAAUUUUAUCCCAAAAUCAAAUUUUUUAUUUUUUAUUUUUAUUUUUUUUGCCUAAAAUACCAUCCACAAAGUCUCCUAAAAAAUUGCAAACGGAAAAUCACAAGUUAGAGAUCACAUAGUUAUAAUCCAUUAAUUAUAAAGAAUUAGAUGUACAAAUUUACAUGGUUGUUACUACUUUCUAAGACUUACACGUGAACUCAUGUCCGCAAUGCAAUAUAUUCAUGUUAUUUGGUGAACCCCCUCAAUACCUUAAGGGGAUACACUCCUCCGUAACGAAUCUAAAAAUAGACAUAAAUUGAUUUGAGAGUUUUAAAUACAAGAGUAAUGACUUUUAGCCUUAAUAUGUGUCAAAAAGAAAAAGAAAAAUGUAAGACAUAUAUAUACAAGUGAACCCUAGAUGGCUUUCAAUAAGAGUUUGAUAACUUAAUUUUCCAAUAUAUAUAUAUAUAUAUAUAUAUAUAUAUAUAUAUAUACAAAUUUGCAAUUUGAUGAAAAUUAAAAACCUUGCAAAGUAUCAAAACUAGGCAAUUUAAGGCUUGAAUGCUUAAGCGUCUUUGAAGUGCACUUGAACACUCCUAACACUUGAGCUCUCGACAUUAAUAUAAAUACUAUUUAUAAAUUAAAAAUGCUCAAUUUUCAAUUCCUUAACGUCCACCUUAUGUCUUUUUAAAAGCCAUUACCCUUUUUGUAACUUAUGAUACUUACCCAUGCUAACCCGAGGGUGAUUCUACUACAACUUUGAGUUUGGUAAAAGUUGUAUAAGUCAUAGGAAGAUAUAUAGUCUUGAACCUGGAUAAAUGGAAAAAUUAUUAUUAACUUAAUCUAGCUAAACUAAUGAGAGCUUAUAAUCUUGUAUCAUCAAACUACCUAGAGGGGUGAAUAAGUAGUCUCUUUAAGUUUAGCCCAAAAAUCUUUUUAUUUUUUAUUUCAAGCUCUUUUAUUAGGAUAUAAUUAAUGAAUAAAAAAAAAACAUUCAAUUGCACAAAGGAAUGCGCAAUUUACAUAAAAAAAUCACCCAUAAAACCUUCCAACGAAUACGAGUAUUAUUGACUAGUUUUAAAAUUUCAUAAUAAUUAUUAUAGCAAUUAAAAUUCUCAUAGUAGACCAAUGGAUACAAGACAUUUGUACUCACUAGAUAAGUUAGCUAUGUUGAUGGCAUAAGGCUUGUAUAAGGCACAAUAUGCUCAAAUCAUUUUCUUCUUUGUAGUUGAUUGGAUUUUUAUAAUAGACCAAAGAAAAAUAUUGUUUGCACAAUUGAAGGCAUGUCACCUUCAUUUUCUUCAUAUUUUCACUUUAUGUAUAAGACAUUUGUAUUGAUUGUGUAACAUAGUUGUAGUAAUGGUAUAAGAGUAUGAAUAAGGCAUCCUAUUGUUAAUAUAUUGCAAUUCUUUCUUUUUUGGCAUUUGAUUGAAUUGAAUUGAAUUUCAUAACAAAUCAAUAUAAAACAUUGUUUCAAUAAUUGAACACAUCACCUUUAUUUUCUUUGUAUUUGCACAUGGUAUAUAAGAUAUUUGUACUAAUUAUAUAUAACAAUUAUGCUGAUAGUGUAAGGCCAACCUAUUCAUUUCUGCCAUUUGGUUGGAUUUCAUGAUAGACCAAUCAAAAAUAUUUUUGGCACAAUUGAACACAUGCUCCCUUCAUUGUCUUCACAUUUGUGCAAAGCAUUUGUAUAGAUUAUAUAUAUAAGGCUAUUGUGUUGAUGGUACAAGGCAUCCUGAUGUGAAUAUAUUCCAGUCCUUUCCCUUUCAACAUUUGAUUGGAUUUCAUAAUAGACCAAUAAAAAAAUUGUUGCCAUAAUUGAAUACAUAUCCCUUUUUUUCACAUUUACAUGUUAUUCACAAGGUAUUUGUAUUGAUUGUACAAUGUCAAUGUGUUAAUGGUACAAGGUUUAUAUAGGUCAUCCUCUUAUUAACAUAUUUUAGUCUUUUGUUUGUAUAAUUGAACAAAUGUCACUUUCAUUUUCUUCCUAUGUACAUAUUAUGUAUAAGAUAUUUAUAUUAAUUAUACAAGAUAAUGGAUCUGACGGUAUAAGACUUAUAUAAAAUAUUUUAUUGUAAAUAUCCUCGUGAAACUUUUUCUUCUUUGUGAAACCCCUUUUCCCAUGUAAAGUUAUUUUUGCCCACCCGAAUCAGUCCUCUUAUUGAAAGAAGUCACCCGUAUUUAUAAGUAAGUUAGGGAAUUAAAUUUUAGAAUUCUCUAAAAUUUAGUUGUUUGAUUCAAAGAAUUUGGUUUUUUGAUUUUUAACAAUUUGUCUUCUUCAUUAAGGAAAUUUAUUAACAAGAGAAUAUUUAUUUAUUCUUUAUCCUCUUUUAACUUCAUUUCCUUUAGAAAUUUGUUGACAAGAGAUAAUAUUUAUUUUGUUUUGUUUUGUUUUUUUAAUUCUCUUUAAUAGAAAAAUGAGAGAUUUGAUUUUAUCUGUAAGACAAGAUUUUGUAGUCUUUCAAAUUUUAUCAUGUAUUAUCUUUUUAAUACAUGUAAUGUGUUAGAUAUAGGACUUCUCACUUAUUGAUCCUAAAUUUUAUCGAAUUUGGGAGUCAUGUUUUUUGGAAGAUCAAUUUUCACUUAUCGAUCCUAAAUUUUGUUGAAUUGGGGAGUGAUAUUUUUUGGAAGAUCAAUUUAGUGAUAACUUAUUUCAUUAAAAAAUUUGAUGUCCACGUGAAAAAAAUUAAUAUUUUUUACCCAAAUUUAUUUUUUUCUUUUACUUUUAGAUAAAUCAAAUAAGAAAACUCAAAAGUCCUUUUAAGUUUUCAUUAUAAUUUUUGUUUUUAUAAAAAAAAUAUUAUUAUAAAACUUUGUUAAACCGAAUUAAAACUUUUACAUUUAUAUAUUGAUUUUUAAUAAUUUGCUUUGAAGGUAUUAAGUAUAAUUUGGGAGAACAUCUUAAGUAAUUAAAUAACAUACAAAUGUUAAAUCCAAUUUUAAAGGGUGUUUGUGGAAUUUCAAAUAUGACCCAUAUUAAUAUUUAAAGACCUUUUUGGAAAUGUUUUUCCUAAAUAUAAAAUAUAAAUUUCUAAAAAUAAAAAAAAAUCAGAAUUUAUCCUUUUUUAUUAAAAAAAUAUAUAUUUUUGAAAUAAAGUUCAUAAAAGAUAAAUUCGAUUUAUUAAACAAAAUAUUGAAAUUAAAAGUCAUCUUACGUAGUCGUAGACCCUAAAACUUUUUUCAUUAACAAUAUAAAAUCACCCCAUAAUAAAAAAUAAAAAAUAAAACCAUAAAAAAUCCUAUGGGUAAAACCAUUUCCACAAUGAUAAAAUCACCCCUGGUGUCAUUAAUCGUCCGAACGGCAACAGCCUAAGAAGAGAAGAGGGAAUCCGCAGAGGAGCCGCACAAAGAAAGCAGCGACGAUGUUUCUCCGGCGAAUUGCGCGGCCGCUGAUGGCGAAGGUGAAGGAGACCACUGGGAUCGUAGGACUGGACGUGGUCCCCAAUGCCCGUGAGGUCCUUAUAUCCCUCUAUACCAAAACCCUAAACGAGAUCCAGACCGUUCCCGAAGAUGAGGGCUAUCGUAAGGCUGUUGAGAGCUUCACGAGCCACCGCCUCAAGGUUUGCCAGGAGGAGGAGGACUGGGAGCAGAUCGAGAAGCGGUUGGGGUGUGGGCAAGUGGAGGAGCUCAUCGAGGAAGCGCAGGACGAGCUCAAGCUCCUCUCCAUGUUGAACGGUGAGUACAAUUAUGUGAAAUGUUUGAUUUUUUAUUUCGUUUUGGUUUGUAUUGUUGGUAUUGUUUGUCUGUUUGGUUGCUGGGAAAUUGGAGGAAAUGAAGAAAAAGGAGUCCUGACUGUUGUGUUGAUGAUGAGAAAUGAUACUUGUGUGAGAUUAGGGUUUGGUGGUUCUUUUAUGUUUUGUGGAAAAUAAUGAAAAGGGAGAGGUUAGAUGUUAGUUCCUUACGUUUUCCUGCAUUUUCUUGGCAACCAAAUUGAGCGUUAAUAUUUUUGGGGUUCCCCUUCUUUUCCAUUGGAUUUGAAUUAUGUCUGUUUGGUUGAUCAGAAAAUGGGGGAUAAUAGACAAGUAGGACUUUAAAUGGUAUUUUCUUUGUUGCAUUUUCUUCGCAACCAACUGGAGUUUUAAUUUGUUGAGGGAUCUUUUUUUCCCCCCCUGGGAUUUUAAGUGUGCAUUGUUUUGGUUGAUGAGAAAAGGAGAGUAGAGGAGAAUAAAAAUUGGAAAUUUUAUUAGGCAUUCUCCAAUAUUGAAAGAUUCCUAACACUGGCUUUCUUUCCUUGUGAUUUCUUGCGGUGUUGAAAGGCGCUGGGUUGUGCCGAUAGACUAAACAAACACCAGUUUUUUCCUUACUCUUUUGGACUUAACCUGCCUUUGGUUGCUGAGAAGUACGAGAGACAAGUAAUAGAAAAUGUAGCUUGAAUUUUUUGUUGUUUGAAACACCUUACAAAACAAAAGUCUCAACUUAAUUCUGCCUAAUACAACUUUUUGGUUUGUUCAGGGUAACUUUAAUUUUUCUGACCAAUUAAGAAUCAACAUUUCAUUUUCUUUUGAUUCUCUUUUUCAGUGACUGAAUCUGAUGUACUCAAAGGAUAGGACUAGAACCAGAUGAAAAAGUAGCCAUCUUGAAAUAGAAAUGUUCUUUGGCCCAUUUGGUUAUUGAGGAGAUUGUAGGAAAAGGAAUGAAACUAAAACGUUGAACUGCAGAGUUUUAUAUUACUUAGGAACAAUGGAAACCAAAAUCUUCUACAAUGCUGUUAACCCUAGCCCACUUCAACUAUUUGACUUAGUUGACUCUAGUCAUUUAAUCUCCAAGAAGCAUUAAUGAAAAGGGAAGCUAUAAAUUUCAAAUCUUAUUUUUCGGUUUUUGUUGUCUUUUAUUUUACUUGAAAGUUAGAAAUCGUUGCAUGAGUACUUCGUGACAGGAGAUGUUAUGCCAACAUGAAUCAUAUGGCAUAUGUUCUUCACUGCUUCAUCUUUUGGAGUAUUAGGUUGUAUACAUUUUUAGAGGUUUAGAGACUAUGUUUAUAUUCAUGAUUGUUAGAGCUUAAUUGAUCUUAUCAUCUUAUAAAAAAGUAGAGCCUAAUUUGUGUGACUUUCCUCGUGUUAAGAUUGAUAAUUACAUUUUUCAAGGCUUCCAAGAUUCCUGGCAAUGCUGAGUCGUGUUCUCAUUUUGGAUAAUUCUAUAGCUCUGGUGUUUAGUUUUUUAACUAAUCUCAAAUCAAUUUCUUCUCCCAUGCUAUUCUCAGUGAAAUUCAUGAAAUGUGGAUAGUCUUUAAUCUGAUGAACAUACUAUGGAAUAGCUUGUUCUGAGCAUAAAGAUUUACCACCACUCAUGAUGCUUGUUGUAAAGUGGAUUAUCUGAUUGCUCUGCCAUAUAAUAGUCUGACCCAAGGGGUGAUCUAGAGUUAAUGCAACUUAUGUAAAUUCUGAGUCAUGCAUGGAUGCUAGUUUGUUAACAUUGAUUAUUUUGGGAGUUUUGGCAUUGAAAAGGUUUGUUCCUAUGGUAAAAUAUGAAUUUCUUCAAAAACAGUGAUACCAAGGAUUAGCAGCAACACAAGCAUUUAAAUCCGGGUGCAUAAAUGGUCUAAAAUCCAUAAACACGGUUGAAUAAAAUAGGUGAACUUACAUUACAUUUACUUCAUCUCACAUGAUGGCCCACUGCUUGCUAGUGCCCUUGAUCGGCUGUCUGUUACCAUUCUAUCUAUAAAAAUCUUCCACCUCUCCUCUCUUUUGUUCAUACUUUUUCUAAUGUAAUAUUGUUUCUUUGAAUAAGGAAGCCAUGUCCAUCCUUGUCUUAUACUGGCUCUUGGAAUGUAUGUAGGUAUAGGUAUUGAGAAGUGAUGUAUAUUUGUUGGAUAGAGCAGUGCGAAUUAUUUCCUUCUGAUUAUACUAUAUUUGUUGGAUAAUAAUUUCAGAAAGUUUUUAUUUUAGGCACUGUGAAUGUAUGAAAUUACAAUUUUACUUUUGAGAUCAGAUGUAAAGGGGUUUGAACUUGUGGAAAAAAGUUUAUUGAGAUGGUAACAAUAAAUGAACAAAUCCUGUUCUGCAAGCAUCUGAACCUCUGUAACAUAUGGAAGCCUAGGCAAUUGUUUUUUGCCUGAAUAACCUUGGCCAAAUGUAGUUCUAGGGAUCUAAAUGGUUGCUCUAGUCCCUGGACUAGUUUAUCCCAUUAUUCCGUUGGUCCAAUGGAGUGAAACCCCCAAACUAAUUCUAGGUGAAGCUCGGCUCUAGUGUUGGAACCAUAUGGCUUGUUCUUGUCUUAAAAGAACAUCAAACAUUAAAAGUGACCAGAUUUGUUAAUAAUGUCUUUUUUAUAUUGGAAUGCAGAGUGGGAUCCAUGGGGUGUUCCCGACGACUAUGAAUGCGAGGUUAUCGAGAAUGAUGCUCCAAUUCCAAAGCAUGUUCCUCAGCAUCGACCAGGUCCUCUCCCAGAGGAGUUCUACAAUACACUGGAGGCUGUUACUCCUCACCCAGAGAAGGAUACGCCUGCAGGCACCUCUAGUGAGUCACAGCCAAAGGAAUAAAAGUAUGUUGCUGGGCUUGUUUUUGAUUUGCAUCAAGAAACAUCAUAUUUAAAAGAUGAAUCAAUGUCCAUUUUUCUGUAUCCUCUUGUUGAUGUUUGCUAUCUCGCUGUAUGUUUGUCACUGGAUUCUACAGUGUACAACUUAUGGCACACAAGCUUGAACCAUUCAGUUAAUAAUCUCUAGUUGAGCUGGCUUUAUUCAAGAAUUCUCCUCUCAUUCUUUUUUUCCUUCAUUAUUCCUUGUGAAAUUUUCUGUUGUCAUAUGAUCCAGUUCCAUUGCUCUCUAUGGCUAAUAAGGAGAUCAUUCAUCAGGAGAGAAGUGUAGUUCAUUUGUAGAAUAAGAUUGAAGGAUAAAAUGUAUUUAACCCUUAUAAGAACACAUUUUAAUUAUUUUCAGUUAUUCUUACUUAUUUUCUAGGGUUUGUAUUGAAAGAAUAAUCCUAUAAAUUUUAAAAAAUAAAAUAUUGUGGAUAAAAAUUAUUUUUAAAAAAUAUUUGGAAAUAUAGAACAGAGGCCGGGAAUGAAACAUUCCACUUCCCAAACAAACUUUUACUUUAGAAAAAAAAAAAAUCCUAUUUGGGGAGACAUUCCCAAACAUAUCCUGAUUUUCCCUGUUUGAAAAACUACCAAUAGCCUCUACAUGAGCACUCACCUUUCUUGAAGGAAUGGAAGCGGUUCCCAUCCCUCACAAUGAUCUCUCUAUCAACCAACCUAGUCACGUUCAUUAUAAAGUCAUGACAAUCUCUGCAAAUGCGAAUGUUCUUAAUAAUGCGUAUUGGAGCUUUUGGUGGUGUACUGAUAAGGCCGAAUGCAACAGCCAACUUCUCACUGUGAUGGGCCAAAGCUCUAUUUUCUUGAUACCAAAUUCCCUGAUUCCUAAACUGAGCUAUCAGUGAUUCAAUCUUUUCAUGAAUCUUACCUAUCUGUGGAUGUGAUGUAUCUCCUGCUGUGAAGAGAUGAACCAUGUUCCUCUCCUCCAUCCAGCUCUGACCAGGAUUCUUCCUCACGCCUCUCUCCCUCAUCAUCCUCCGAGUUUUCUCCCCUAGCUCAGACCGGCCAGAAUCAUCAUACAGGUUAGCAAGCAGUACAUAGAAUGCUGGAUCAGAAGGGUCGAGCUCGAGGCCUUGUCUUGCCAUAUGUUCCCCAAGAGGUAUGUUCCCAUGUAGUUUGCAGGCACCCAAUAGUGUUUUGUAGAUCAAUGCAUCUGGUUUGAAAGGCAUGGUUUCUAUUACAUUCAUGGCCUCCUCUAGCCGGCCUGCUCGACCAAGGAGAUCAACUAAACAAACAUAGUGAUCUAGUUGUGGUCUGAUACCAUGUUUUUCUCUCAUAGAUUGGAAAUAGUCCAACCCCAUAUCAACCAAGCCGCCAUGACUGCAAGCGUAAAGUACUAACAAGCAUGUAAUCUGAUCUGGUUCAACUCCAGCUAACCUCAUAUCUUCAAAGGCAGAUAAGGCAGAUGAGACAUGCCCAUUUGAUGCCAAUCCAAAUAUUAACCCAUUCCAUGAUACGGCAUCCGGCUCAGUAAUUUCCAGAAAAGAUCUAUGUGCAUCAUGUAUGCAUCCACAUUUCCCAUACAAGUCAACCAGGCCAUUUGAGACUGAAAUCCAGCUGCCUAAGCCAGACUUGACAGAGUAACAGUGAAGCUGCUUUCCAGUUUCCAUUAUCGGUAUACCUGCUGCUGCGGAUAAGAAGCUUGCGAGACUGAAUCCAUCCAUUCUAACAUCAUCCUUGUUCAUGUGAGUGAUGAUGUUUAAUGCCAUUUCAUGAUUACCUGUCUGAUUUAUUCUUGUGGCUAAGCUUGUGUAUGUGAUGACAUCUCUAUGCUUCAUCAUACUGGUCACAUGCCAUGCAUCAUCCACCAUCCCCAAUCCAGCAUAAGCAUCUACAAGAGCAUUGCCAACGACUACAUCAUUAUCCGCAUUGUUUUUAAUUAUAUACCCGUGAAGCUUCCUUGUUUGAGUUAGAGACUUUAUUGUUCCACAAGCUCCAAGGAUAGUAGAGAGCGUAAAGGAAUUUGGUCGCACCCCUACACCUUGCAUUGCUCCAAACACCUUAAUCGAUUCUUCCUCAAGUCCAUGUUCAGAAAAACCAGCAAUCAGAGAGGUCCAAGAGAUGACAUUGGGUGAUGCUAUCCCUCUAAAUGCCCUCACAGCAUCUUCUAUCAUGUUGGAACAUUUCAUAUACAUGUCGACAAGUGAAUUUCCAACAGAGACAUCAUUCUCCAAUCCAGCCAUGACAACCCUUGAGUGAAUCUGUUUACCCAAGUCCAGUGCCAGGAUUGAUGAACAAGCAUUCAGGAUACCAGAAUAGGUAAAAUUAUUCGGUACAACUCCAGAGGUCUCCAUCUCAUGAAAUGCAGUGAUAGCCUCCCUGAACUUCAAGCUUUGAGUGAAACCAGAGAUGAUGGCAGUCCACAAAAAUACAUCAUAUUCUAGAGUCAGUUUUGAAACCUUGACAGCAUCCUCUAUGCUCUGGCAUUUACAGUACAUAUCUACAAGGGCUGUCUUCAAAACCAAAUUCAGUUCAAUCCGCCACAUCAUCAAAUGGGCGUGCACUAAUUUCCCAUAAUUCAAACCAAGAAAACUGGAUGCAGCCAAAAGCUUCACAAAGGUAAACUCAUUUGGAGCAACCCCAGUUUGGAUCAUUCGGUGAUAAAGUUGUAAAGCUUGACUCCAACUCCCUGCUUCAACAAAGGAAGACACCAUCAUAGUCCAAGAAACAAUAUCCCCAUUGUUCAUAUACUCAAAUACUCUGUAUGCUUCUUGAGUACACCCACAUUUGGAGUAAAAAUCAAUCAAAGCACUGCCUAAAACCGGAUUUGAAUCAAACCCAGACUUUGUCACAAGCGCCUGAAAUCGAGUCCCAUGAUUGAAUUCCCUCAAAGCAGAACACGACCGCAAUGCAGUCGAGAGCGUAAACUCAUUUGGGUAUUCCCCAGAAAUCAACAUUGAGUCAAACAGUUCAAGAGCCUCUUCAUGGUUUCCAAUUUUCCCAUAAGCGGACAUGAGCAUUGUCCAAGACGCAACAUCUCUACAAGGCAUUUCAUCGAACAAUUGGCGUGCUUCUGCCACUCCAAAACACUUUCCAUAUAGAGACAACAGAUUGUUACUAAGAAACAUGUCUUCUUGAAAACCCAUUUUGAUAAUGGGACUGUGAAUGCAAAUCCCAUCUCGUACGGACCUUGAGUUGCAGAAUGAGACAAUGUCUUUGAGGAGUGAGUACUCAAUUUUGCUGGGUAUCUUGGAUACAGUUGUUCUCCAUAUCAUAUCUCUCUGCGUGGUCACCGGCACCGUCUCCGAUCAGUUACUCUCCGCCGGAGGAAGCAGGAAGACGGCUGGUGACGAGCAAGAGUACGGAGUUUCUGUUUUCAAAAAUUGAGAAAAAUGAAAACGGUACAGAAAAGGCGUUGGCGGGGAUGCCUUCUAGAAACGGAGAAAACACACAAACGGAGUAUGUUUUAAGGAAAAUGCAGAAUAAAGAUGAUAAUAUUAGAAUUUUUUUUUAAAAAAAUAUUUACUUACUAGCACAAAUCUAAUAAGUUGAAUUAAUAAAAUAAAAAUAAUUUUAAUUUUUAGAUUUUAUUCAAUAAUUUUAUUUACAUUUUUCAAUUUGUAUAAUUUUUAGAUUAUUUAACAUUUUGAAUUGAAUCUCAUAAUAAUUCUUGUUGGCAAUUAUGUAUGAUAAUAUUUAUAUAUGAAAAAUAUUUUUCUUCUUUAUAGUCUUUUUCUACCAAAUGUGGGGAAUUGUAUUGUAUUGUAUUCCCGUUCAUAGUGUGUAUAUUGUGAAGAAAAUUCUUUGAUUUUUUUCUUUGUUUUUUUCAAUCUAAAUUUUGGUGGUUUGACCAAGUCAUUAUUAUCGGAUUUAAAUGUCAAUACCAUAGAAUGCAUUAAUAGCUUUCUAUUAGAAUGAUAGAAUCCAAUUCUGCUAGAUACUAAAUAUAAGUAAACAUAGCCUAUAAAGUAAAGGAUAACUGAAUUGAAGGAAACAAAUGAUUCUAAAAAGGAUUAUUCAUCUUCCUAGUCUUCGAUACAAGAAAGGAAUUUUCUUAGAUACUAUCGGAAAAUGAAAUGCAUAACUACGACAACUCCUCCAUGAAGGAGGUUCUUGACCUAAAUUAACAUUUUACAAAACUUAACGACUUAAAAUAACUUUAAAUUUUGCUUGAAUUAUUAAUUAAUUUUUAUUUUAAAUAUUAAAAUCAUUUAGUAAAACUCACUUAAUAUUUUUUUUUUAAAAUUAUUAAGUUGACUUGUAUACCCUCGUUGACAUGAAGGAAAAAAUCAUUAACCAAUUACCUUCAUUGAAUAAGGGAUGGUACUCAUUGAAUCAAUGAUGAUCAAUGAAAUUUAUAGAAGGAACCCAACAAAGAUUUUGUAAUAAGGUUGUUCCCUAUCUUUUUAAAAUUUCAAUUUUUCUUAAAGGCAUGUUUGGUUUCUAAAAAAAUUUAUGAAAAAUAUAAAAAAUCAAAUAUAAUUUAAAUUAGAUAUGAACUUAUAUAUUUUAAAAUUAUUUAAUCUUUAUAUAUAAAAAUUAAAACAAGCCAAAUGAGUUUAAAAUAACAUAUAAAAUAAUUUAUUAAUUUUAAUUUUUUCCAAAAUUUUCAUCUUUAUUUUGUUUUCCCUCAUAUUUUGCCUCAAAUUUUACAGGAACUAAACAUAACCUAAAAUUCUCUAAUCAAUUUUUUUUUCCUCUUAAGUUGGUAAAAAAUAUUUCUAAAAAUAUAUUUUUUAUUUUGAAUGUCUUUUAAAAGAUAUUAUUAUUAUCAUCUAAUUGCUAUUCGUAACACAAUUUUUACUAAUGUACAAAUUUUCUUGAAAACAUCAACAAAUUGUAUUUAUAUAAAAACCAAAAUUAUAAUAUAAUUUUAAUCUACUUAGCUGUGGUUUGUCAUUAUCCUUCUUUUUAUAAUCUAAUCUGACAAAAAAGAAAAAAAAAAAAAGGAGGCUUAACCUUUGUGAUGGACCCAUUGUCAUCUUAAUACCAAAUAAAGAAUCUUUGUCCUAGCUGGACACUAAAUUUUAAUUAUUUUAGAUUAAAUUAGGGAUCCCAAAGUUCUAUGCAUACAGCUAUGAAACUUAAAUUAGAAUAUUUUCCAUACGAAAGCUUCUUCCAUCCAAUUUCCCUUAAGAAUAAUUGAAAAAUUCUUAAACCCUAACACACGAAUGAAAUAUUCCAAUUUAAAAAGAUCAAAAGUGCAUAUACUUGAGUAAAAAAAAAAAAAAAAAAAAAAAAAGGACAAAAAGGCAAAAUUUGAAAUUGCCUUACCAUUUCAUCCCUAUUUUAAGAUUUGAUUAAGUUUUUUCGAAGUUAAUUUGUUAAUAAAUAUAGUUAUAGAAUCUGUUUAACGAUCAUUCUUAGAAGGAUUUUUAACUUUAAAAAAUAUUUUUUUGAAAAAUUAAAUAACAAAACUUAUAAAUAUUUUUAAAAAAUUUAAAAAUUACUUAAAAAAUUACUCACUUGAUUUUUUUUUAAAUAUUUUUAGAGAAAACACUUUUAAUAAAAACACUUCCAAACACAUUCUUACUUUUUUUUUUAAAGUGUCUAAAUUUUAUUAUGUGUUUUCAAUUAUUUAAAUUGUAUCUUCCAUCCAUAUUGAUUUGAAACUUUAAAAUUUUCCUAUUUAAUAUAGAAUUAUCUUAUAAUAUAAAAGAUUUUAUAAUAUAUAUAUAUAUAUAUUUAUUUAUUUAUUUAUUUAUUUAUUUAUUUUAUAAUAGAGAAACCUUUUAUGAUCGAAUAUUUGAGGUGUUGAUUGUCCUGUAAUAAUUAGGGUUCCCAUAAAUUUAGGUAUCAUUAGUGAUACUAUUCAAAUCCAGAACUAUGUACUAUUUACUAGGGUCAUAUUGUCUAGUGUUUACUUUGACUAAUUGGACUACCGGGUAAAUGUCUUUUUUAAAUAUUAAUUAACAUUUUUAUAGUUAUUGAUUAGGGUUUUAAUAAAUAAAAAGUUGGGAAAAAAGAAACGGAGAGUUAAGAAUUUUUUCUAAAAAGAUAUUAUUAUUUUUGGCAAACACGACGUUACUUAGAUCUGCUCUUUCGUUUGUCUUUCUCAUUUAUUUAUUUAUUUAUUUUUUUUUUCUGACUUUUCAAACGAUGUGGGCGUGAAUGGUAGAAAGGUCGGUGUGCUUAAUAAUUGUCUUCCUCGGAAGCCGACGACGACGAGUGGGGACACGGUCGAGGGCAAAAACGGGUUUCUGCUAUUUUUAGAAAAAAAAAAUUGUUAUUGUAAUUCAAUAACGACUUGAGGGUAGACUUGAGCGGCUUUAUAAAGCACAUCAAGUGGAGCUCCAAUCAGUGCUCUCCGAUUCCCUAAUUCAACAAAUUUUAUACUUUUGUGUUCUAGCUCCUUCUGGAGACUUCAUCUCCAAUGGCGUCCGAUCUGGAGAUCAGAGCCGGCAAGGCCUUCAUCGACGACCACUUUGAACUCGCCGUUGACCUGUACACUCAGGCCAUCGAAAUAAACCCUAAUCAUGCCGAGCUCUAUGUUGAACGAUCUCAGGCCAACAUCAAACUCAACAACUUCACUGGUAUCGAUCAAUCACUCUUCUGUUUGGCUUUCCAGAAAGUCCGGGAUAUUUAAUUUUGCGUUUCGUGUUGUUGUGUUGGUAUUGGCUUUGAUUGAUUUUAGUUGUUGUGAUGGCUGUCUCUGUUUUAUCUGGUUGUUUUUGGUGUGGUGUGCCUGGAUCGUGUGGCUUGGUUGCUGAGAGGACAAGGGACAAGAGAGAGGGGAAAAUUGUGAGUUUUAGGGCAGGGUUGUGCUUGUUGUCUUGGCAUAGGUUUGGUUCUUUUAAGAAGAGGAGGAGGAAAAGCUUUGCUUGGUUGCUAAAAGUUGUUAGAAGGAUAUAUCUAUUUUUCCUUUAGAACUAUUUUUCAGAAUUAAGCGAGAAAGGGAGAAUUUUGUAUUGAUGAUGCGUUGGAUAUAAAGCCCCAAAAAAUCCAAUGCGAUUCUCUGUAUUCUCUUCCAACUAGGAUAGUUUUGUCACUCCAGGCAUAGUUUCGAAGAAAGAAGGAUUUGUCAAAAAUUAGGAAUUCAAUUCUGGGAAAAAAUAAAAAGGAAGUUCUGGGGAUUUUUGGAACGGCUAGAAGCACUUGAUCCAACUUGAAACGCAGGAGAGGUAUGCUCUCAUUAGGAGUUAGAAGUAAACUAACUAACAAUCGCUUUUCUGAUUUGAGGGCGAAAGAAAGAGAAUUGACAAAAAAGCAUAAAACUUAAAGGGGCUAGAGAAUAGCUCUUUAUCUCCUUGAUUUGGAAAGAAAGGGUUUUCAUUGUAAAUACUAGCACUAAAAAUCAAUUCAUUUCAGUUUCUUUGUUCCUGUGCUCCUGCUUCCAAUUAUUGUCCUACCAAUUCUUGCAAUUUAAUUGAAUAGGUGUACACAUUUUGUUGGUUGCAUCAUGUUUGAUUCAUAUGGAACUCAUUUGGAACUUAACCAAGGCUUGAAUAAGUCAUGUUUGGUGAACUGAGGUUCCAACGAGGAAUAAACCCCAUGUCUCAAGUUCUUUGUGAUAUAGUUUCUCUACUCGUCAUUUUUGACUAUCCCAACCAAAUAAAUUUUUAAAAUUGUUGUCCCUUCUUACUCACGUAUGUGUUUCCUAAUAAAAACACGAGAUUUUAUUGUGUAUUAUUAUUUUUCCCUUUGCUAGGUAGGCAAAUUAUUAUUAAGAACGCCUAUCUGUUUUUUAUUAUUGUUUUUGAAAACUUAUUCUUGGAUCAUCAUUUUUUCUAUUUAACAAAAGCAAACUUGCUUUCAGGUUUUCCUUUUUUUGUUGCUUGAGAUUGAAAAAAGAUGUUAAAUUCAGUAGAGCCAUACGCUUAGUUCAGUGGAGAAUGCGUGGAAUUUACUUCUAUUGACAUGAUGAACCUACAUUACGUUUCAGUCUUUUUGAGAAAAUUGAGGACCAAAAAAAAAAAAGAAGGCUACUAUAUUUGUCUUGUUUGUUGUUUUUGUUAUUCCUAUUUGAUGAGAAAAUCGUAGGAACUAAAAGACCACUUUGAGUCUAUUUGUUUUGUUUCUUUGAUAUUGAAAGCAAUGGAAUACCAAUCCUUGGGCUUUAUUUGUAAAGUCUCUAUUCUUUGAUAAUCGAAGCCCCACACCUGUAUUCUAACUUCUCCUUAGACAAUAUCAAAUUGAACCACCAUGUUUCCAUAGAGCUUGAAUUUUAUUCUAUUUCUUUUACCUUUGGUUGGUUGUUGAAAAAAUUAAGGAAAAGGAAGAGAUGAAGGCAGGCUUAUGACUAUGUAUAUUUAUUCAUAUUUAUGGAGUUUUUAUUUUGUCUUGAUUUAUGGUACCAUUCACAUUUUUGCACAACAUGCAAAUCAAGUUCUCCUUAUGAGAGGCUGGUGGCUAACUUUUUCAAUUUUUUGAGCAGAGGCUGUUGCUGAUGCAAACAGAGCAAUUGAGUUGGACCCAUCAAUGUCUAAAGCAUUCUUGCGGAAAGGGUAAGAGCCUUGGACUUUGCAAAUUGAUAUGUAUAAUUAUUUUGUCAUCAGUGAUGGUGCCAAUUCAUUCAGCAGCAUUUGACAUAUGCUUUCAGUGUAAUUAGCUACUGCUAGAGUUUUAUUAAAUUCAGCACUUGGGCAGUCUUAUAUAUGUAAAGUGAAAGCACCUGAUCAUCUAUUUUGAGGGAGGAAGGAUGGUGUGGAGGUCUAUUUUAUUAAUUGUAGCAUAAAUAUUUAUAUUGUGUUUAUUCAUUUUGAUUAGAAUGUUUGUGAAAUUAUCUGAUUCUAUAUGAUACUUCUACAUAUUUUGGAGGAGAAAGUUUUCUUAAUGUAGCUUAAUGGAUGGAAGUUAUUUUAUUUUUUAAAUUACUUUGUGUAUUUUGCAGGUUUUGCUAUAAGCAGCAUUUUGAUCUUAUUAAAAUGCAUGUUCACAUUUUUUCCCCCUUGUAGACAUGAAUUGACUCGAUGGAAAACAUUAUAUUUCUCAUGGGUUUUCUUGACUUGUAAGUUUUAAGUGUUAGAGGUGGUCAGUGUGCCCUCAUAAUUUCUUCUAGAGGUUUUCAUAAAGUUUUUUGAUUGAAGAAUGUAAAACUAGGGAUCAUAUAUGAUCUCUCAACAAAGAAAUUCAACCAACGUAUGCAUGGUCCUAAGGUUGGGUUCAGAGACUUUAAAAAUAUGAUCCUAAAAGAUUAACAGCUUGAAAAAUAUAUGAUUUGUUUUUGGCAGAUUUGGCCAUCUUAGACUUGUUUGCAGUUUAUAAUUACUUUAUUAAGCUUGGCUUAUGGUUGAUGGCCUUCUUUUUUUUUAGUAAUCCACUUUCUCUCAAUGUCAGUUUCAAUAUGUGUUUGGGACAUUGAAAGUUCAUUAUAAAGUUAGUAGGAAGGAUUGGAGGGCAACUCCAAUUUGUUUCCUGUGGUGUAUUUGAAAGGAGGAGGAGGAGGAAACUUGUGAAGGGUUAGAUUUAUCAUUCUGCAAGUAGACAAGAAUUGUAAUAAGGUUAUAGUUUGUGCUUAUGUAAGAAUCAUUUUCAGAAUAGCUUCUUUCUCAAUGUUAUUUGAAAAUUGAGAGAUGGUUGUUUUUGCUUCCUUUUCCAUGUAAGUAACUACUUCGUGUAAGUUGUAAGAUCUGAAGAAGUGUGGCAGGAUUUUUUGGAGGUUGCAUUGUUUUUCUUAUUUUGAUGAGUUAGUCAUAGUAGGGUGCAUGGUCUUGCUAUGUUUCACAAGUAGUUACAUCAUGCAUUAGUGUUAUUGGUUCUUCAUUCACUCGUCAUUGGUUGCCUUGUUUUGCAAUUUAUAGCCCACUUAAUUUGUGCCCUGGCCCUUGGCUAUUGUAUACUGUUACCUGCUCUGAAUCACUGUUGUCUUAUGUUUUUACCUUUUUUAGCAGUCCUCUUUUAGCACUUCCCCAGUAAUUUCAUUUAAUUCAUUUUUUUUUUGUUUCACAGCACUGCAUGUAUGAAGCUUGAGGAAUAUCAAACUGCUAAGGCAGCCUUCGAAACAGGGGCUUCCUUGGCACCGGGAGAUUCAAGAUUCACUAAUUUGAUAAAAGAAUGCGAAGAGUGCAUUGCAGGUCAAUUUUUGGCUAUAACCUGAUCCUAUGGUGCUAAAAUAUAUGAGAUUAUAUUAUAGUCGAAUUCAAUAUACUCUAUUUUCAUUAAAAAUAAUUUGGAUCUUCUGUGAUGUACUUUUUUGUUUUUUAUCAUAUGAUAUGUGUUAUAUAUAUAUGUGUGUGUGUGUAUAUAUAUAUAUUUAUUUAUUUUUAUUGUUUUAAUAGUCUCAUGAUGCAUGACCAAGAUCUUGUGGUGCGUAGAGAUCUAUUCAGUCACAGACAGUGGCAGUAUGUUUGGGUUUUCAUUUCUGCUGAACUCUGUCUGCACCAUUGUAGUUCAAGAUAAAAUAUGUUAGUUUACAGUCUAGUGCUAAUUUAAAGAUGAAUUUUUCAUAUUUGUGAAUAAAAAUUUGAGCUGUAGUUGGAUUAAAAUGUAAUGGAACUCAAAUAAUGUUAUGUCUAUGCUUCUGGAUGCCUUAAUGGUUGACUGGCAAGCCCUUUGGAAAAGACAUUAUUCCAUAUGUCUGUGGGAAAUGCUUCUAGUGGAUUUUUUGGUAUCCUAUAUACAGGUUGGUUAACCUAUAAUCAGUCUAUAUACGAUUUACUGGUUCUGUUGUUUGUAUUCAACGCGACCAAUCUCUACUACUUUUUUCCAAGGAUGGGAAUAUACUUUCUGUUUUUUGGUUGAUCUUUUGAAUAAGUUUUUAUUUUUAUUCCUUAUUUUUUGUGCUUAGACUUGAAUGCAUUAGUAGCCAAGUAUUACUGAAUUGUUUGUUUCUCCUAUUUAUCAUUGGGAGGACUGUAAAAGUAAUGCUUAACAUGUAAUUUUUAUUUGCAUUCUGUGCAAUAUUUGUAUGUUUUGGGUGCAUAUUGAAAAAGUUAUCAUCUAUGUUGUGUUUGAAUUAUUCAUAGCAUCUUUUACCGGAUGAUAAAUGGGGCCAGUUUCCUCUCAUCUGUGGCUUUAGGCAGCUUUCGGUUGAGAUUGUCAAGAACCUAGUUAGCUCAAAUAGGAAUAGGAAAAUGAAUAAAAUUCAAUUAGCUUAUACUUCUCUGUUACUUGAAUAGGAAAUAUGAUGUGUAUAGCAUAACUGUUGAUGCAUCUGAUACUUUAUGCCAGAGAAAGAUCACUCCUUUUUCUUGGCAAUGGUUGUCACUGUUUUACGUUUUUCUGGUUGUCAUCAUUUUACUUUUUGCAGCAGAGUGAUUAUUUUGAUAGAAAAAAAGGGAGGAAAAGGGGAAAAAACUUGUUAAGGAUAUGAAUGAAAUUCUCGGUUGGGGAUCCAAGUAGCUUUAUAAGCCCCCAUCAAUGUGGUUCCUCAAGCCCAACUAAACACACCUGGCCCGGUAGACAAGCAGCCUGUUUUGGAAAUUUAAUCAUUGAAAUUGGGACUUUGUGUGGUUGGGUGCUUUUGAAAUUUUGUAGUUAUGUUACGAGGUAAGAAUUAAAUAAUAACUAGUAGGUAAGUAUUGAAGAAAACCCGUUGAGGGUGGGGUUCCUUUUGCACCUCCGUUGUUGGCAGCUGAUUUGUUCCAGCUGGGGAGCGGGGGGUGUUUUCUUCUUCUUUGUAUACUUUAAGCCUAUUGAAGAAGCUUAUGUCAUAGUUUAGUAAACUGCUUGAUAGGGAGGUAAUCUAGUUACUAAUUCAUAAUCUAGUUUCUUCCAUUGGAAGUUAGCAUUUAUUUGUCUGGAAAUACUCACCACUAAACAUUGGCAUUUUAUGUGCAUAAAUGCUGGCAUUAUGUGCCCUCUUAAUCCAUGAUGGAAGUGCUUUUUUUUUUUUUUUUCCUUUAAAUAUUACAAUUAAUAAAUAAUUUUUUUUGAUAGGUAACAUCAAAAAGAUUGUUUAUUAAUUUUAUUUUUGUAUCUAUAUAUUUUCCAUGAUGUCAAAUUUAUGUAUACAAGUUUACACCUUGGCAAAAGCUGAGAAAUUCGAAGGCCCAGAUUAUUCUAGUUCCUGUGGACAUUAAUGAAGCUGGUGAACUGCUUUCAGUGAGAUGAUUUAGUUUUCUUCGGAAUUGAAACAAGAGUUUCUUCGGAAGGACAGUCAAGGAAAAAUUAUGUCAUGUUUUAGAAAUUAUUGCUCAUAUUUUAAUGGCCUGAUUUUGAUCUUGCUGAUGGAUUUGAAUGUUUGUUCAGAGGAAACUGAUGGCCUACCAAAGCAGUCAGUGGUACCAGCCCCUGAAGCUGUUGAAUCUCCUGAAACUGUUGUAGCUGCAGAGGAAGUUCAUCAGGUGCCAAUGGUAACAGCAAGCAAACCAAAAUACAGGUAUGGUUACACUUGCUUGUCUGUGCCAUUUGUUUGGUACAUAGACAAGAGAGUAACAUUAUUUUGUAUAUAUAUACUUUCUAGUCUUCUUUCAAGGUUGCCUAGGAGAUUGUAUAUGUUUGCAAUUUCAGUGAUUCAUUAAUACUGUCCAUUAGCAGUUUCAUGAUCAUUAAAUGUAUAACAUAUGUGCAGGCAUGAAUAUUACCAGAAACCACAAGAAGUGGUUGUCACCAUAUUUGCAAAAGGCGUACCAGAUGAAAAUGUUGUUGUUGACUUUGGUGAACAAAUAGUAUGGUUCAUCUCAACUCGAUACUUCUCAUUUUUAUUCUGUUUCAUAGUGACUUUGUGUUUUGUUAUUUAGAUCUUCUUCGUAGACAUUGAUUUGAUGAUUAUGCUAAUUCUUCUUUUUGGUUGCUUUGCAGCUGAGUGUCAGCAUUGAUGUUCCUGGUGAUGUUGCAUAUCAUUUUCAACCUCGCUUAUUUGGAAAGGUAAGGCUCAUAUUUCAUGUUGUUAGAAACUACUUUGUAAAUAAGUUUUAUUGGUACCAAACAUUUAGGAAUGGACUAGUGAUUAUCUAAUGCCCAAGAAUUUCUUUAGAUAUUUGAAGAAGCCUAAAAACAAGAAUGUUUUUGGACAAAACUAAGGAAGUGCAUGUGUAUAUACCUGGCCUAUUGACUUAGAGUAUGAUCUCCCUCUGUUUGUUUCUUGGAAAACUUCAGAAAAGGAAAUAGAUCUUGGUUGUGAAUUGUUUUGCUUCUCUUUCCCUUUUUUUUCCUUGGCAGUAACUGAAGAUAUAUGGAAAAUCCUUCCUUAAGUGCGUUGGUAAAAAAUAAAUAGGGGCUUCAAUCUUUUUUAUUUAAUUUUUUGACUGAAAAGGUUUGGGGUACUCUGAAACAGUUAGACUGUGAGUUCUAAGAAUGAUAGCAAUAUCUGUAACAAGUAUUCUGUUCGUGAUGCUUUAUUUGGAAGGCAAAAUAUUGUGUUCCAUUGGUUGAUCUAGUUUUUGUAGUCUAGUAUUAUAGGAAUAUCUAAUUCAUUUCACUUAUUCUGGAUGCUGAGUUUAUCAUCUGGUGUUUGGUUUUGACAAACAGAUAAUACCCGACAAGUGUAGAUAUGAAGUAUUGUCAACCAAAAUUGAAAUCCGACUUGCAAAAGCUGAAGAAAUUCAUUGGACUUCUCUUGAAUUCAGCAAGGAAAAUACAGUUCCACAGAGGAUAAAUGUAUCUACAAGUAAGUUGUUAGGCUUGUAAACUGCCCUUCUUUUAAUCCACCCAGAGAUUGAGCAGGAGAAGAUUUAAUUACCACCCCCCACCCCAAGUUGCUUCCAAAUUAUGGGUCUAAAAACCAGAACUAGGAUAAAUUAACAGUUGCAGCAAUUUGACAGUGUUUCGAGGUUGAAGACACUGAUAAUCGAUAUAUCAAUUUUCUCUGCUGCUUCUGAAAAUAUAUAUCAUGUUUACUUUCACUUUGUACAGUAGCUCUUUGUUCUUGUCCUGCUUCCUUAAUGCUGAGUUUUCUUCAUAUUUAUCACUGUUGCAAACCGCAACCAUAUAUAUAUAUAUGUAUGUAUGUAUGCAAUUUUUUUUUUCUUUUAUUCUUUUGGGUGUCUGAGUGAUACUGUCUCCUAAAUUGAAACCUCAUUUUAGAGGCCAUGUUUUUGUUUGAUACCAAGUAAACUGAAAAAUUCAUCCUGAAAAUACUAUUCUAUAUCUACAUGGAAAGAAGAACCCAUUGGACACGAUAUCUAUCCAAUGUCAUUUAGUGAGGAUGUUCUUAUGCUUGUGUGUCUAUCCUUGUUAAGCUCACAUCCAGGAUCAUCAGUUUCACAACUCCUGGAUCUGUUUAUACCAUCAAGAUCCAUCAGCCCAGCACACACUUUAUUUGCCCUCCCUCAUCUGUAAAAAACCAUCAAAUUUCAGAACACUCAUGGCAUUCUAUGGAGGACAAGUGCAUCCCUUGAUGUGGUUACUCUCCUUGAUUGCAUGUUGUGGGUCAAUGGAGUAUGUGAAAUGAUUACAUCUAUAAUCCCAUUUUAAGACUUGCAGUCUUCACUUAAUUGCUAGCAAGGGUAGGUUGCUUCCUCAUAAUGCAGUUUUGAGAAUGCAGUCUUCACUUAUUGCUAUCACUAAUAAACAGCAUCCUCAAAAUACAAUUUUUGUUUUUAUAUAGUGUUGCAAUUGGAGAAGAGCACAUAAAAGAAUUGCUGUGUGAUAUUUGCAGCAGUGACAAAUCUCAACAUGGCAAACGCGACAAUAGAUUUGGUAUUUCUUUUGCUUUCGUAACAAUCUGUUGAUGCUUCUCCAAGAUUAUAACAUUUUGGAAGAACAGAGGACAUUGAGUGAUCGAUUAUUAAUGUGUUUGCCUGAAGAGAAUUUGUUAGCUUGAAAAUCUUGACAAUAGAAUUGGUAUUUCUUUUGCUUUUGUAUCAAUAUGUUGAUGCUUCUCCAAGAUUGUAACAUUUUGGAAUAACAGAGGACAUUGAGUGAUUGAUUAUUAAUGUGUUUGCCUAGAGAGGAUUUGUUAGCUUGAAAAUCAUGAUCCUGUUACCAUUUUGCAGCAUAAAGUUUCCUAUCAUGCUAUGCUAAUAAGCUUAUUUCCUUUUUCAAGUUGCAGGUGUUGCAUCUCAAAGGCCCACUUACCCGUCCUCUAAGACUAGAAUGGUAGAUUGGGAUAAGCUGGAAGCACAAGUCAAGAAGGAGGUUUGCCUGCAAUCUAGAUCCUGUUACUUUGGUUUUCAUUAUUGUUUAACAUCAUAUGAGAACCUGAGGAAUUUUAUUUGGGGGUCAACUCUUUGGUGGUUUGAAUUUCAGGAGAAAGAAGAAAAGCUGGAUGGAGAUGCAGCUCUGAACAAAUUUUUCCGGGACAUAUAUAAAGAUGCAGACGAAGACACAAGAAGGGCCAUGCAAAAAUCUUUUGUAAGACUUCAAUACCGGAGUUACAUAAAAUAUCAUUCUAAUUGAGUAUGGGAUUAUAAAAGGGAAAUUAGCAAAUUAACGGAAGGUGACAUUGUUUUUCUUGGGGCUAUUUUUUAACAGGUGGAGUCAAAUGGGACAGUGCUGUCGACAAACUGGAAGGAAGUUGGAUCGAAGAAGGUUGAGGGAAGCCCUCCCGAUGGCAUGGAGAUGAAGAAAUGGGAGUACUGAGUUAUUUCUCCUCUAAAUUGUGUAUAAGUAUUUUAGUAUGCGAUUUUGCUCUUCUGCUCUAUUGACAUGAUUUCGGCUUUUCCUCCUUAUAGCUUAAUCUUUAGGAGUCUUGUGUUUGGACAUGCCCUAGGUAUUCUUCCCAUUUAAAACAAUUUGGUUUGCUAGAACUGCCCCCCUGUAUGUCCGUUAACCUUGGUACUGGUUUGCCAUUUAAUUGAAAUGAUUGAUGAAUUGUGUCUAAUGUUUGUCGAGAAUUGCUUGUCCUUUUGUUAUUCAAGAGCCAACUUACCUAUUUCUUGUGGUAUUUAUAGAAAAUCAACAACUAUGAGUCUGUUUAAGAACGUUUUGUAAAACAGUUUUCAAAUAAUAGUUUUUAAAAACAGUUCUCUUUGGAAAUUCAAAUAUGAAAAACAUCUUUUUCGGUUUAUGAAGUUAUAUCUGUAUAAUAUGGUCUUGAGGGUUCCUUCUAGGACUGAAAGGCCGCACUUCUUUAUUAGGUUUUAUAGAAUGGUUGGACCCUUUUGUGUGAGGUUAUAUAUUGUGUUCGUCACUUUAGUUUGACACCUUUCAUAUAUUUAUUAAUAUGCAUACUCUUAUUUGUUUAUAAGAGUACAUUGUUUCUAGACUCAGUUUUCCAACACAUGAUCAUCUCAAUUCUUUACAUACGUCAAUGAAUCUAAGGGCAAGAUGAUUGUUCCUCCCCUCUACCCACCACUUGCCUGACACACUUCGUUCUUAAUUCCCUUGACCCUCCUGCUCUUCUCUUAUUGGUAAAACUUUGGAGUGUCACCAAGGGUUGAUCUGGACUUUCCUCUUAAGUUACUGUAGACAACCCACUUUCCCAGCACUCUUGGUCCAAUUAGACUAGGGUUUCUCGGCAAACAGAAGGAGCACAAAUGAAAAUUCAAUGAAUGGUUAGGCGUGUGUGAUGAAUCUACUGCCAAAAGGAUACUUGAAUUUGCAUUCAAGAAACAAAAAUACUGCUCUCAAUACAAUAAGAAAUCGCUCGAUGGUUAAAAUGUUUCUAAUCUUUCCAAUAUCAAGUAUAUUUUUAAUCAAAAAGUGUGAGAAUCAGGGCCAAACAAGCUCUAAAUUAUUCUUCAGAAUUCCAUUGAAAUUACCAACAGCCAAACAGUUUGCAUCUCACGCUAUCCAAGAAUUGGAAAUAGGCAACCCUCCAUGCCUUUUUGAUUGCCAAUGGACCCAAAACAGCCCAAAACCCAAUCACAAAUCCCAGUGGCAUGCUCAUAUAGAACCACUUCAUUUCGAUCCAAUUAUCAUCGUCCUCUUCAUCAGCAGUCCCUGGUAUUGGAACCUUUGGGAGAUCAUCUCCAACACAAGUUUCUGUAAGAGGGGGCCCACAGAGCUCAAGAUUACCAAUAAAACAGCUCGCAUAAAAGCUUUGGAUUUGAGUGCCUGAUGGAAUUCUGCCUGAGAAGUUGUUGUACGACACAUUUAAAUGGCUCAAGAAUGAUAUACCUGCAAGGCUUUGUGGAAUAACACCCGAAAGUUUGUUCCUGGAGAGAUCAAGGGACUCCAACGAUGUCAUGGCGCCGAUCUCCAUAGGAAGCUGUCCUUCAAGAUGAUUUACAGACAGGUUCAAGAAAAUCAAACCUUGGAGACUGGUCAGUUCUUUCGGUAUCUCACCCGUUAAGUUGUUGCAUGAGAGGUCUAUUAGAGUUAGAAGGGGAAGAGAACCACUGUACUCAUAUUCUGUUCUCUUUACAACCAGUGAUGCUGUGUCCGUGAACCCUAUCGCAGAAUUAUUGUAAGAAAGAAAUGACCCCCUUGGUUGCACUUGGCUGGCCAUGACACUGAAAUUGCCAAAACAUCUUGGAAUGGUCCCUGAAAGGCUGUUGUUUGCAAGGUCUAAGACUUGAAGGGACUUGAGGAGACAGAAUUCCAUAGGAAUACUCCCAGUAAAUUUAUUUGAUCGUAGGGCAAGAACCAUAAGACUGGACAGAUUCUUCCCCACCCACAUCAGUAUGCUUCCAGAGAAUUCAUUCUCACUGAGGUCUACAACUGUCAAACUUUCGCAACCUUGCAUGGAAGGCGGUAAAGUACCAGAGAGACUGUUGUUGCGCAUGUGCAAUGAUCUUAGCCAAAGUAGGGAACCCAUCGAGCUCGGUAGAUGUCCAGUCAGAUUAUUAUUCCGUAAUCUCAACACCGUAAGUAGUGUCCAGGACGCCCAACAGUCAGGAAGUUCUCCUGAUAGAAUGUUUCCGGAGAGGUCUAAAGAAUUCAAAGUGUUCUCUUCAUUGUUCUGCUGACACAAGAUGUGUGAAAGGGAUCCAUUAAAGGAGUUAUGGGAAAGAUCUAAUGAAAAUGUCUUGGAAGAGAUACGAGGCAGUGGGCCAGUGAAUUUGUUUGAACCAAGAUGGAUCUGAUAUGCAGCUGGUAAGCUUGGAACAGUGCCAUACAUCCGGUUGUAGGCUACAUUUAUGUAGUCAAGAUUGAGACUCCAGAACCAAGAUGGGAUGGCAUCUUUGAUUCCUGCUCUGGAUAUGUCUAGACGCAUCAAAUCCUUUUGUGUUUGCAGCCAUGCAGGAAAUAGAGGCCCCAACUGCCAAUAUCUCAUUUCCAAAAUUUCCAGUUGGAAUGGAGGAUUCCAGUCAGAACCCACUUGCAAUGUAAACGACUUUGACUUUGAUUUUGAAGAUGCAUAUAAAUAUUUCAACCUUGUCAAAUUAGCGAAGUGCUUUUCAGACACCACACCGUUCAGAGAAUUCCCGGAAAUAUCUAAGUAACUCAAGGAUGACAAGCCUCUUGCAGAUAUAGAAGUUGGUCCAGAAGAUGAACUAUUCCCAACAGAAAGAACUGAUAAGCAUUUCAAAAAAUGACCUGAAAGUUCGUCUGCUCCAAGGUCUAGAAACUCUAAACCUUUGACAAGUUUAUUAGAUGACAAAUCUAGCCUUUGUAGAUUGCAAAGUUCUCCCAAGGAUCUUGGGAUUUCCCCUUCAAAGGCAUUGUUCGACAGGUGUAGAGCUACAAUUGAAGUAAGGUUUCCGAUGGAAACUGGAAGGAUUCCAUGAAAAUUGUUGUUUGAAAAGUCGAUACUUUCAAGGCUAGUUAGGUGACUCAAGCAAUCAGGUAUAGUGGAAGUGAAGCUGUUAUUGAAAAGAUGAAGGGAUCUUAGAGCAGUUAAAUUGCAAAGAGCAGUUGGAAUUGGUCCAUGAAAGUUACUGGAACUUAGAUCAAGUGAAACAAGUGAUCCAAGGCUAGAGAACCAGUCCAAUGUUGGAGAAACAAAUUGAUUCUCUGAGAGGUCAAGGACAGUGAGAGACGAAAAAUUCACGGCUGGAAGAGGAUUGAUGCUACUGAGCCCACAAUCAGACAAGAUUAGAACUGACAAAGAAUGGAGCAUAUUCAUCCCUUGUAGCCAAUUAGACGCUUUGCUUAGGUCCACCCAGCUCAUGUCAAGAACCUCUAGGACAGAAAGAGGAGAAAUCCAGUCAAGAUUCUCAAUAUUCAGAGAAUUACCUCCAAUAUCAAGAUACUGCAAGCUCAAUAGGUUUCCAAGUUGACGAGGAACAUCACCAGUAAAACCUGCAUUGGAGAGAUUAAGAUACCUUAAACCUGUCAGGGAACCAAGGAAUUCUGGAAUCUGAAGUCCUUCGAAGCUGUUCCAGCUGAGGUCCAGGUACUGAAGAUGCUUCAGGUCCAACAAAGAAGUACUGAUUUCCCCACCCAAGGAAGCUCCGUCCAUUGGAUUGCGACUGAGGUUGAUCUUGACAACAUGCCUAGUUAUGUUGUCACAGCCAAUGCCUUUCCAUGAACAGCAGGCUUCACCGGUCCAAGACGAGAGGUAGUUUCCCUGAUCCACAAGGCCUUGUUUGAAUCUGUGGAGUGCUUUUCUUUCUCUUGCACUGCAGAUGACAUCUGAAGUUCCCUCACUCAAACUAAACUGGAUGGUGGUACUUGCUAAGGACAGAAACCAAAACCACAGAACCACCACAUCUCUAAUACUUUUCCUAUCCAUAGAACUAGUUCUGCAACAGAUGAAUUGAGAAGGAAAUUUUCCAAAGGUGAUUUGUAGUAAGAAGCAAGGGCUUAGGCUACAUACUUAUAAUGAUACCAGGAAUAAAGAAAUCUGUUAUAAGCCUGACCUUAAUGUGUAUUUUAUGGAUCAAAGUCUUCGUUAAUUGUUAAUCAUAGGAUUCAUAGGUGGUCUUGAAGAAACUUUCAGCGUUCUUUCCGUUGUUAUAAUUCUUUAAUCUGGCCUUAGCAUUUCGUCUUCGACAAGCAAACGUUCAGAAGGAGACCUUUGGGUGGUAAAAUGAUUAUACAAAUUGCCAAGGUUUGAACUAAGGUAUAAAUAAAAGCUGCAACUACAAACCAUGGUAAUCAACUUUGUGGAAACUGAAUGGAAUAAUUUGCAGUGAGGUUACAAAGUACUUGGGCAGCAACUUCAUGAAAAAAGACUAGUCCAAGUUGAAGCCACAGAUAGAUAAUAAAUGGUGAAUGAAAGACUAGAGAAUGGAGUCAAGCUGAUAAGAUUGAAUACGUGAGCAGAUGGGGUAUGGGGUAGUGAAUUUCAUUGUCAUUUUGGAAGUAGUUUGAAAAUGCUGAACUCACCUACCUCUGAAGAUACUUCAACUGUGGAUCUUGGAUUUUUCCUUGUUUGAACAAAGGAAAACUCCAUUAAAUAUAAGAACAGCAACGAUUACAAUAGAAAGGAAUCUAUUAAAAAAGGGGCUGAGCUAUGUACACCCCCUUUUGGUAAUUGCCAAGAAAAUCGAGUAAAGGCUAGGAAAGAAAAUAAAAAUUUUAAAUCAAAGAAAAUAAAAAGGACGGGUUUCAUCAAGGAAGAAAGAAACAAGGAAAGAAGUUAUAGGAUCAUCAUUUUUUCUCACUAAAUAAAAGAAGCUAUUGGCUACAGCGAUAAGUAUAGCCAUUAGCAGCAAAAAGAAGAUUGCUGCAACCAUUAAAACUUGCUUGCAUUUUAUAGAUGUAUUUUCAUCUUCAUUUCCAUGCAGGAAAUUUGCAACCAUUUGUGUCUUCAAGGUAAUUGGCAUACAUGACUUUGUUAAUUAUUAAUCAUAGAUGGUCUUAAAAGAAACUUUCAGAGUUCUUGCCAUUGUUAUAACCCUUUAAUCUGGCAUUAGGAUUUCAUCUUUGACAAGCCAACGUUUAGAAUGAGACCUUUGGGUGAUGAAAUGAUGAUACAAAUUGCAAAGGUUUGGAGUUUGAAGGAUUCCAAAUCCUAUUCGAGAGAUGCUACCACAAACCAUGGUAAUCAACUUCGUGGAAACUGAAUGGAGAAAAUUGCAGUGAGGUUACACAGUACUUGGGCAGCAAUUUCCUGAAAAAAAGACAAGUCCAAGUUGAAGCCACAAAUAGAUAAUAAAUGGUGAAUGAAAGACUAAUGGAGUCAAGAUGAUAGGAAUGAAUAUGUGAGCAGUUGAAACUAAUAUGAAGCCACAGUGAGGUAGUGAAUUUCAUUAUCAUAGUGGAAAUAGCUUGGAAAUGCUGGACUCACCUACCUCCCAAGUCAAACUCAGAUACUUUUUAACUGUGGAUCUUGGAUUUUUCCUCGUUUGAACAAAAGAAAACUCCAUUAAAUAUAAGAACAACAACAACUAAAAUAAGAAAGGAAUGUAUCAUAAAAGGAGCUGUCCAUUUUUCAUAUUAAAGCAAAAUUCAAUGUUAAAAUAGUGGUACAAGCACCAUGUCUAUAUUUAACGUAUCAUUGAUGCUAUACCUAUAAUGUGCUUUCUUUGUGGGAAAAUUUUAAAAAUAUCAUGAAUUGUUUGUGGGGGUAGAAGCAUGACCCAAACAUUAUAGCUUUGUCCCAUUUUCUCCAACUUGUUGAGCAAUAAUAUCUUUUCUUUUUUUUUCCAAAUUGUAUUAUUGCCCUAGAGGAUGACUCAACUCUCUUGCCGUGCUUGAGUUGUAAGUAAUGAAAGUGAUGACAAAAUUUUCUAUGAAAGGAAGAAAUUAAAGAUGAAUCUUGUUGGAGUAAUAGGAUUGAAAAGAAAUACAAACAAUUAUAAAAGAUAAAAAUUUGGGAGAUUGAAAAGUGUUUUUGAAAAUAGUUCUUAAGGGCAUGUUUGGUUGCUGUUUUUGAAAACUGUUCUGGAAAACAGUUUUUGAGAACAGUUUUUAAGAACAGUUUUUGAUGUUUUUAAAAAAAAAAUUGUGUUUGGGAACUGAAUUUUAAAAAACAGUUUUUGUUCUCAAAAACAAAAAAACAUGUUUGGUUGAGUUAAUAAAAUAAAAAAUUUAAACAAAUAAAAUAAAAAACACGUUUGAAAGAUGUUUUUUUUUUCUUUUCUAAUUAAUAAAAUAUUUUCUUCAAGUAAUUUUACAUUAUAAAUUUAUAAAUAAUUUUUAGAUAUAUAGUUCAUUUAAAUUAAAAAAAUUAUUUAUUUUAUUAAUUUAAAAAUAAAAAUAUUUUUUAUAUUUUUUUAAAAUAAAUCAAACAUAAUAAAAUUAUUUUUAUUAAUAUUUUUUUAUUUAAUCUUAAAAAGGUAUAACAUAUUCUAUUAAAUUGAGAUAAAAUUGUGCUCGUGAUUUAUUAAUUUUUUUUUUUUAUCUCUACUAAAUCCAAAAUGCCACCCACUUCUCUCUCUCUCUCGGGCAUCAAAAAGCCCUUUUCUGAAGUUGCCCUCCAUCGGGCAUCAAGAAGCCCUUUUCUGAAGUUGCCCUCCAGCCAAGAGAAUCCCUAAAAGGCCCUAUUUUCCUCUGCCACUCUCAAUCCUCGCAGGUACUAAUCUAAUCAUGUUAUUAUUAUUAUUAUUUUUUUUGCAACCCCAGUUUGAUUACCAAGAAAAUCCAUCCCCCAUUCGAUUUCCGGGAAAUUUCAUCCUCGUUUGAUUUCCGAGAAAAUCCAAGCAAAAACCCCAAGGAAAACCAAAAAAAUGGUUCUUUUGCUCCCUGUGUUUUCUGGAUCCGUUUUAGGGGUCUCUUUGCUAUUGUGCCAUUGGAUUUAAAUUUCACGAACCUUGAAUCAAGACUGAGACCGUGCUGGAGAAGAGAUGAGAACGGGAAGAAAAAAAAAAACACGGAGAACAAGUUGUUUUUUUUUGUUUAAUUUUGUUCUGUAAACAGUAAAAAAACGAGGAAAACAACAUUUUGUUGUUCUCUAAACAGUGCCAUUUUGAGAACACGGGAAACAACAAAAACAAAAACGACCCUGUCAACCAAACGAGUUUUUGGUGUUUUUUGUUUUCAAGAACAGAAAACAGUUCUUGAAAACACUAAACAAACAGGCCCUAAGUUUUUCAGAAAGGUUUUUAAAAAUUGUUCUCUAAUAUUUUGUUGAACAAAAAUCUAUGUAAAAUCUAAAAUGUUCUUGACUAAUUUUCUAUAUAUUUAAAUAUAUUUUAAAAAUAAUUUUUAUAUGUAGUGUUUUAUUUUUAAUUUUUUUUAUAUUUAUAUAAUUAUAUUUUAAAAUAGCUCUUAGAAGACAAGAGAAAACAAUUGAAAAAAAUAUAAAAUGAUGUAAUCUAAAAACACCUUGUUUAUGUUUUUAAGAACACAAAAUUGUUUCUGAUUUUUUGGUUGCUAAAAGUGUUUUUUUUUUGUUAUGGAGAAUAAAAAACUUUUUAAAAAAAUAAUUACCAAACAAGGCAUAGAACCUAAUUGAAUUCCACCAUUCUCACUUUUAUUCAAGUAUUACAUAAUCUCUUAUUUAUAGAUACCAAACACUUCUCUUAACUAAAUAAAAACUCAUAAUAAUAAAAUAUAGAAACUUUCUAAGACUUGAUUGCUAAAAAAAUAAACUAAAAUUACCACUUAAAAAAAAUAUUCUCUUUGAUUUUUAGAAACCAAAUCUAAUUCUAAUAUUUAGAAAGUUUCUAAAUUAAGGUUAACUUUCUAAUAUGCCCCUUUAAACUUGAUUUGUGACUCCAAUAAGCAUCCUUAACCUUCUAAAAUCUUCAAACUUGAUACACUUGGUAAAAAUAUCUACAAUUUGACCAUGAAAUUUUACAAAUUUUAAUUGCUCUUCCUUCUUCAUAAUACACUCUCUAAUAAAAUGAUAUCUUCUAUCGAUAUGCUUGCUUCACUUAUGGGAAAUUGAAUUUUUUAAUAAUGCAAUAAUUGAUUUGUUGUCCACAUAGAUUUUUGUUGGUUCUUUUUGUGGAAAAUUAAGCUCCUUCAACAAAUUUUUGAGCCAAAUUGCAUGACAUACACAUGAUGUUGCCAAAGCAAAUUCCAUUUCACAAGUUUAAAGUGUCACAAUAGGUUGCUUCUUUAAGGACCAAAUAAAUGCGACAUCUCCCAUGAAAAAGUAAAGCUAGUAGUACUCUUUCAAAAUUUGAUGUCUUCACCCCAAUCACUAUCACUAUAUCCAACAAGUUUAAAAUUGUGAGAAGGUGAAUAAUAUAAAUCAUAAUCAAGUGUACCUUUGAUGCAGUGAAGAAUUCACUUGGUAGUUUUCUCGUGAGUCAUCGUUGGUGCUUCCAUAAAAUGACUAAUAUGUCUAACUAAAAAAAAAAUGUCUAAUCUUGUGCAAGUUAAAUGCUGUAGACUUCCAACUAAACUUUUGUAUCAUGUUGGAUUCACGUUUUCUCUUUCUUCAUAUCUUGACAAUUUAACUCCACAUUCAAUUGGUGUGUUACCGGAUUACACAUAUUCAUGCCAAUCUUCUUGAUAAUUUCUUUUGCAUGGCCAUCUUUAGAAAUAAAAAUAUUAUUUUUGGUUUAUUUCACUUCUAUGGUGAUCAUCUCAAACUCUUAAGCCAUUACUUUUUUGAACUCAUCAAACAUGGUUAAUAUUAAGAUAAAGCCUUUAAAAGUAUAACAUGGUAUAACAAAUUUGGAAUUUAUUAUUUAUUUAAUAAUAUUCUAAUUUCAAUUUUUAUUUAUCCUUACUUCAUAUGUUAUAUCUUAUAAGCAUUCUGACUCGACAACUUUUGCACUAGGGGAGGAGUAUCAUAGUUGCUUUCUUGAGCACUCGAAUCCCACAUUUCUUCAUUAUAUUUAGCAUUUCUACUAAUAAUGAUCUUUUCAUUAUUUGGAUUGUAUAACUUGUAGCCUUUGGUGCUUGAAUUAUAAUCAAUUAAAAUAUAUUUUUCACUCUUAUUAUCUAACUAUGAUCCCUUCUUAUUUGACCUUUUUUCAUUUCAAGCUUGUUGUAGUAUUUUAUUCCAUAUACUUAGAUUAGUUGAAUGAUUCGAGAAAUAAAUUGCACAAUCAACCACUUUGGCCCAAGAAAUGUAAAUACUUUUAAAUUCUUCGGUCUUUAUAUUAGAGAGGAAAAUAAAAAUAAAAAUUGGGAGUUUCAUGGAAAUAAUUUACUAAGUUUGAAUAUAUAUUUAUUAUCUUUCCUAAAAUUUUAGAAGAUCCAAAUGGUGAGAAAUGAUCAUUUCCCCUUCUUUAAGGCAGCAUCAGCCUUGUUCUGACUCUUAAUUAUUCCACACUUCUUUUCCAAAUUCCAUGGUUGACGAUUUCCAAUCAUUUUCCUCUGCACUUUUGCUAUCUUACUUUAUUCCAAACCAACAAGAUUGCAAAAGGGGAACAUAGGCAUGGUCCACUACUUUGAAAAUUAGGACAUACCUAUAACCAUUAUGUUUGGGAAUAUAGGCAUAGUACACUAUGAAAAUUAGGGCAUACCUAUAAUCUUUGUGUUUUUCCCACUAAUAUUAAAAUAACAAAAAGAAAAAUGCAACAAUUUUUCAACGUCUUUACGUUAGUGAUCACAAAAGCAUUAAUAGACUCCCUAAUUUACUCUAAAAUAUUUCUCUUCAUAUACAUUUCUACCAAACUUCCCUUCUUACAUCAUUGUAAAUCAAAGCUUUUGCAUUAGAAAAAUGUGGUGGUGGUGGGGGAUAAGACUAGAAAUUGAUCCCAUAAAGUCCUCAUAUUCUCAUAAGUCGUCCAUGUUGGAAGAGUGUGUGAGCGGGUGGUUUGAGUCAAAAUGAAAAGGUGGUAGUUGCUGGACAAUAAUAAAUAAUCUAAACAUGCUAUAAAAACCAUUAAAUAGCAAUUAGAUCAUAAACGGAAUUAUAGAUAGAUCGGAAAACGUACCUCCCGCCAUUGCCAUUCUACAGGUUAAAACGUGUUUUGCUAUUUUCGGGUUUCAAGUGCUUCUAAACCUUCACAACCUCUACUUAGAUGGUGUUUUGAAAAACUGAAAGAGAUUACAGGCUUAGGGAACCUUACCCAUGAGUGUUCUGCCUCAUUUUAAAGACUUUCUCCAUCACCGAGUCUGCCUGGAGUGUGCACAGAACAUGGGAUAAUGAUGCGAACGUGGUUCUGAGCAUGAAUCCUCGUUCUUAAAUUGAUGGAAUGAUGUGGACCACAUUCCAAAUCACGUCUUCGGUUUAUUACCGAAGAUGCAGGAGAAAUAAAAGCCCAACAUUCUCCCACUUGGUCCAUAUAUUCCAUCAUUCAUCAUAGCAAGAAACAAAGCACAUGAAUCAUGGCGAUAGGUCCUCUAAAAUCGAGUAUUAUCUUCCAUGUAUCACAAUGCAUCAUGUCUCUUAAACACUAGCCCAUAUGGCUUAAUGAAUAAACCCUAUGUUUAUUCUAGGUUCAAACAUUAAUGAUAUUUCUCAAUAAAUGAAUAAAAGUGUACACAAAGAAAAUCAAAUAUGAGAAAACAUCACAAAUAGAGUUUCAUUGAAAAUAACAUUCAUUCUUACAACGAAAAUCACACAAAGGAACCAAGUCCCAAUCUAUCUACAUGAUCCUUAAAUUUCAACGGUGGCAUGCCUUUAGUUAAAGGAUUUACAAUCAUCAAUUCAGUGCUAACAUGUUCAAUAACCACUGUUUUCUCUUUAACAUGUUCUCUUAGGGCUAAAUACUUGAUGUUGAUGUGCUUGUUUCAACUGCUACUUUUGUUGUUCUUAGCAAUAAAAACUGCAGCUGAAUUGUCACAAUAUAUCUUCAAUAACCUAGAAAUUGAAUCCACAACUUUAAGCCCAAAAAUGAAACUCUUUAACCAUACACCAUGCUAGGUAGCCUCAAAACAAGACACAAACUCAACCUCCAUAGUGGAAGUUGCAAUCAAAGUUUGCUUUGCGCUUCUCUAAGAAACAGCUCCACCGACUAGCAUAAAGACAUAUCCUAAAGUUGAUUUUCGCGAAUCAAUGCAGCCAGCAUAGUCUGAAUCAGAGUAGCUAAUCACUUCCAAAUUAUCAAUUUGUCUAUACAUAAACAUGUAGUCUUUGGUCCCCUGAAGAUACCUCAUUGAUUACUACUCAAAAAGUGCUAUUUUGAUAGCUUGUAAUUAACUCUUUUAAACACUUUUGAGUAGUAGUUAUUGCCUUUUAACCCAAUUAACAUGUUAAGGACCCUUGCAAUCAUUUCUAAUCAAAUUGUGUAAGUUUUGGUGUUUUUGAUAGCUUUUUGAUCACCAAAACAAUCCAAGAUUGAGGAGAGUUAUUUGGAAUCCAUGGCAAAGCAAUGGAAGCUCAAAUUCAUGAAGAACCAAGCUUUGGAGCUCCAUAUCCCUUUGCCAAAGUCGUUCAAAGUAUGCAAGGAAAGAGUACUGGAGAGAGGAAAAACAGAGUGAAGAAAACAGAGGAAAGCUAGCUGCAGUCUUCAUGCGCACUUUUGGAGCGCUUCCCGAAGUCCAUUUUCUACAUUCUAUAUACCAUUUCAAAGCUCAGGAAGUCAAGAAUCCAAUGCUUCAAACGGUGUGCAAUUCGGAGUUGAAACGAAGGAGUUACAGCCAUUGCAAGCAGAUCACUCCAAAGUGUUGCGAAAUCAGCCUUUUGUUGCGAGAAUUUCGCAGCCUUUUUGUACAGUGCUAUGGAAUUCCUCCUGAAGCUACCCGAUACAUGCCGCAAGCUGGAACUCUGAGAACCUCAAGGUGGAAGCCAAUUUCGCAGCCCUGCGAGUUUAACUUGUUGUUGCGAAAAUAUUUCGCAGCCCUCUUAAGUGUCUGCGAAAUCUCGCAGACACCAUUUUCACCUGCGAAAUGUCCUUAGUGCUUCCUGAUAUUUGUGCACCGACUCUUUUAGAUCUUUUCUUCAGAUAUUUUUGUAUAAUUUCCAUUUUCUCCUUGUAUUCAACCACUCAUGUAAUUCCUUAGCUAGAAAGUAUCCAAGGAAGGGUAAAUUACCUUCCUAUAUAAACUCCCUUGCAUCCACUGUAAAAAGAGGAGAACCAUAUAUGUAAUCCAAUAUAUAGAAUCAACGAACAGAGCACUUGCUCUGUUU